This 82041-nucleotide long non-coding RNA is filed under the name Coffea arabica (coffee). RNAcentral describes it as "long non-coding RNA (CARA_LNC002771)". The record is from RNAcentral. Lineage: Eukaryota; Viridiplantae; Streptophyta; Magnoliopsida; Gentianales; Rubiaceae.
UUUUUUUUUUUUUUUUUUUUUGUAUUUUGAGCACAAAAAGAAAAAUGGGAAAAAACGGAAAGAAAACUCCAAUCCAAACGAGUUUUCCACGCUUUGGGUGUCAUCUUUUUGUAUUUUCAUUUAAAAAAAAUGAAAGAACUCCAUCCAAACGACGUUUACCCCUCAAACACUUAAAAAUGUGUCAUCCUUUGAAUUUUUUCAUUCUCACAUAUUUGAAUUGCGAGUUUUGCAUAUCGAAAUAUUUGUUUAGCAUGUUUCUCAAUUAUCUAUUUACCUUAUAUAAUCACAUGGUUACAAUAAAUUUUUGUACGAAAACUCCAAUCUAAACCGACAAAUUUGUAACCUUACACAUCUUUUCUCUUUCUCCCCAUGACAUUCAGCACAAAUUUUGUAGUUAAGCACACACCUGAAUUAUUUUAAAAACACACUAAUAAUACAUUAGGGAAAAAGGUCUGCAUAUGGGAAGUAGCCAAUUAAUGAUGAUUGUUCUAUAUUCUUGAAAGGAAAAAAAUAGCAUAACAUAAAUUAAGAUAUUAAAAGAGAACUCAAACUGAGCUAAGAAAGAGGAUCCACCUCUAUCAUAUGGGCAAACAGCGCCAUCCAAAAUGCUUCACCCGAUGGCCAACUCGCUUAGAAAUGGGUUGGUUAUACAAGAGUAGAAUCGGAGUUCAACUUUGGCACAGGAGAGGCCUCUUAUCCCUCCAGCCUGGUUCAAGCGUAAGCAAACGGUGCUUAGGAGUUCAAAUAAACAAGUCAGUGAUGCUUAUCAGCUUUUUUGGACAGCAAUUGAAUAUAAUAAACCCGAUAAAGUGAGGGUGGGAUCAUUAAAUUCUUAAACAACUCCAAUUUGAUACAGAUUGCAGGGAAUAGGCCGAUAAAACCCAACAAAACAGAAAAAGAUAGACACAGAACCUCGUUGCUGACUCAGCAUUGAACUCUGUAAGCUCUCCAUAACUUCCUAAUUUUAGUAAGUUUUCCCUGAAAUUGUUUUCUUGAAUCGUUCAGCAACAUCAUCUCAUCUAUCAGUAAUCUGGGUGGAAACACUUUGAAUUAGUUUUCUGAAUUUUAAUGUUUGACUUCUUUCGUUCAAAUCCGUCAGACGGUUGCUGAGACUGUAAUUUGAGUUAUAAAGUCUCAAUGAUCUGUCUUUUUGACUUCUUUCAAGAAUAUGUUCUUGAUUUAAAUAACGUUACUCUCUAAGUAAUUGUGGUGUAUAAGGUUUUCAAGUUUCCUGCGUAUGCUUUAGAAAAUAUUAAAUGCAGCUACUGCACCAUGUCAAACUAUGCUGCAAGACUCGUCUUUUAAGUUUCAGAUAGGGUGUCUGCAAUGUGGCUUUGACUUCUUUCUAGUGAUUGGCUUGCUGUACAGAAAAAUAGGGUAGCCCGGAUGACUGGACCUAAAGCAAAAAAGCUGGAGCGGAUGCACUUAAUUUUUUGUUUUUCCACCACUGGAUUGGGAUUUAUUUUAAACUUUUUCUCUGAUGGAAAUCUAACAACACAAAGCAAAGUGGAAGACAAUCAUUUAUAGAGUUUCUUCUGAUUUUAAUUGUUCGCACCUUAGAUAAUUGUUUCUGGCAUUUAACUCCAUUUUUGCUGUUAAUGAGAUUCAAAAUCAGACUAUUUGCUAUUUGCAGCAUGUUUGAUGAUUUUGUCUAUUCACUAUUGCACUGCUGUUUUGGGCUACGAUAUUUGAAUGUGUUGUAUACCAAAUAAAUAUUGAUUAGUGAAUUAGCAUUCUUGGUUCUUUGCCGGCUUCAUUGUUUAUCUAUGCAGUAUGUUUUUUCUUGGACUCACAUCGUAUAUGGUUUCUAAUUUGUAUUCACUUUUAGGUUGUGAUAAUAUGAAUUACUCCUUGAAAUGCCAGUUUCUUAUAGUGACUGUUUAAAACGUUUAUGUUUCAGCUCCAUCGUAGUGUCAUCACCAUAUGGCGCUUUACCGCAGCUCUCACUCAAUCCGCAGAGCCGUUGCCAAUAGUUGGAGACUCUCACUAAAGCCAAUUUCAGCAGCCUACAAUUCUUGUGAUUGGAGUUACUUCAAUGAGAAUAAUGACAAUAAUUGUGUCGUUUUAAUUUUGUUAAGAGCCCAUUUACAUCUGGUUCUCCCCAUGUGAAAUUUUCGAACACUGAUACUUCAACAUCAUCGUACUCAACAUUACACCCCUCCAUGAAGGGCCUUCUUAUAUGCGUGCUGCUGUUUUUUGGGAACCAAACAAACCCUCACAAUUGAAGACUUCCAAAUGCCCCGGCCAAAAGCUAAUGAAAUCCUCAUCAAAACCAAGGGUACAUCUGUUCCUCCUAUACCUCUAUUCCUUUUAUUAUACAUCAGCUGUCAACAUCAUGAAAAUAGAAAAUCCAAGAAUUUAGUUUCGUUUAGAAGAUCACCAAACUGAAGGUGACUCUUUCCAAGAAUAUUUGACUAUCUGGUUGCUAUAUAUGACUUCAAUCAUGCAUGAAUAGUCAAAACCCAAUAGUAACCGUAGUUUAAGUAAUCUAGGUGUAUAUGUGUAGACAGCUGGAAUUAUCUUGCAUAAAAACUGUAUAGUGAAUUAGCUGGAUGCAAGCAGGCAUGACACAGCCAAAAGGGAAGAAAUAGGAUGUGAGACUAGUAGAUGAUGCUUCUUGUCUUGCUAAUGAGCGUUUCCAUCAUUAGCUUAAAGUGUUAGUGCGCUUUAUGAAACUUAAUAUCUUAAAUGAUAUGUUUGCUUCAAUCAACUGCGUGCAGCCUGUGGGGUGUGCCACUCGGAUCUGCAUGUAAUAAAAGGUGAGCUUCCAUUUGCAAGCCCUUGCGUCGUGGGCCAUGAGAUAACAGGUGAGGUCGUUGAACAUGGCGCACUCACCGACUCUAAAAUCGUUGAAAGGUUUAACAUUUAGUUUGUGUGUCCCUUUCGUGAUAUGCAGUGUAGUUGCAAACAUGCUCACCUUUUACUGAUUCUUUGCUUUGAAUUUUAUUUCUUCAGAUUUCCUGUAGGAGCUCAAGUUGUUGGAGCUUUCAUAAUGCCUUGUGGUAGUUGUUUCUUUUGCUCUAAGGUGGCUUGCAUUGAUACUUUACUUUUCAUCUGCUUGCCAUAUUUGUAUGUCAUUCGUUUUACUUCAUUUAGAGCAUAAUAAAAUCAAAUCAAAUUAUGAGCUGAUGAUGAAUUUGGGUUGGAAAUAGGGUCAAGAUGACUUGUGUGAGUCAUUCUUUGCUUAUAACCGAGCAAAAGGAACACUUUAUGAUGGUGAAACACGGCUAUUUCUCCGUAGCAAUGGUAAUCAAGUCUUUACAGCUUUUUGUGUUGGGUUUCAAACUGCUUUGCUCUACUUGUAGGUUGAGUGUAUAAUUUUUUGCAUUUGAUCACCUUAUGUUGCCACUUUGGUGUGGAAUAUUAUAGAUCACAACUUUUUGAAAUUUUUGUAGCAUCAGGAAUCUUUAAACUUUGAUGUUAAAUCCAAAUAUGGAUGUGUCUCCUUAUUCCAAAGAAAGGGUCUUUUCCCUUAUUUUUAACUGUAUUACAAUAUUCGUAAGAAGUUGAAUUUUCAUUUGAGUUGUAUUUGAAGAUUCCCAUGUUUUCUUCCAUAUUAUGCUCCAUUAAACCAUUGCACAAAUAGUUGUUUUCCCUAAUGUCUACAAAAUUUCCAGUGUCUAUUAUGGAUAUUUUACCUCCAUCAAGCUACAAGAAUUAAAGCUUUGUGCAAAGUAUAGCUUUGCUUUUAUGGUUAAAGGUUCAAAUUUGGGUUUCCUGCAUAAGCUCCUGAUGGAUCUUCAUUUUGUGGGAUUUGCCAAACAAUUUUUUGCUUCUUUAAGUGAAAAUGAUUCUUUGUAGAACAGGCUUUAAGAAGUUUGUUUGAUUUUGGAUGCGCAGGAAAACCAGUGUAUAUGUACAGUAUGGGAGGUCUUGCGGAGUACUGUGUAGUGCCAGCACAUGGAUUGACUGUUCUACCGAAUUCCUUGCCUUACACUGAAUCUGCUAUACUGGGUUGUGCUGUUUUUACUGCUACGGGGCUAUGGCUCAUGCUGCACAGGUUCGCCCUGGCGAUGCCAUUGCUGUGAUUGGCAUAGGUGGUGUGGGCUCAAGGUAUAAAACUCAGAUUCCUUGGGUAGUACUGCCCAUUCUAUUUACAGGUUUAAAUAUUUCAUUUGGGUUUUAUGACCAAAUGAGAAAUGCAGGUUUCUGUGAAACGAGAAAGUUGUUUAAUUAUAAUGAUAGAAGCAUAAUGUAUAUCCAGAUAUGGUGUUUGGAUUUCGUUUAUGAAGAUUGCUUUUAUGUUAUGGGAGUGAAAAGUUACUCAAGGUAUCAAUGGAAGUACUUCUAGAAUUUUUCUUCCUUUCAUCUGUACUCUUCUCUUUUUAUCAGUGAUAAGGCCUGAUGACUGACACUGUGAAGGCCUUGUUUCCGUGUUGAAAGGGCAAAAAAGACUAAUUGAGAUACUUCUCUUGGAGAGAUAGCCAUCCAUUCAUACUCUCUUGAUCAUUGAAGUGCAUGAGUAUGCCUUCAUAUGCUUUGAUUAAGCUUGGUGGAUAAUGCUCUAAAUAUAGUACAAUUUUCUGGCGAUUAAGAUUUUUGGAGAUAUUCUUGGGUUUGGGCAUCUCAAUAGUUGUUGUUGUUAUCAUGGCUUAUAACUCAUUUUUCAUGGUCUUUUUCAAAAUGCACCAGUUACCCAUUCUGAUUCUCAAGUACUGGAAAAGGAUAUGGGAACUUUUGCAGAUGCUUGCUUGAAAUUUAUGUGCCACGAUUAUCUUCUGGACCAAUCAAUCUUCACUACAUUUAACUUGUUGUGCAUGACUUGCAAUCGUCUCAUGAUUACUAAUUGGUGGAAGAGCAACUCUCAAGGAUCUGUGUUUAGGGAAAUCACAUAUAACGCUGGAAAUAGAAGUUAACAGUUAUAACUACAAGAAAGUGUUGUUGCUCAUGGAUCUUCAUGUUUUGGAUGCUGGAUGAAAUCAAUAUAUACCUACACAUGAACUUUUACCUUACUACAUGAAAACGUAGACCAUGAUGGUAGCAGCCAUUGUCAAAAUUGUCUUUUUUUUUUUUUUUUCCUUUGCUUCUCUCUUUUUACUCUUUAUUCUUGAUAUCUUCCUGCACAAAAAUUAGAACUUUUGGCAAUUUAAGCUUUAAUUUAGUGAAGUACAGAAUGUAAAAGUAAAUACAAAUCUCAUUUUGUUUUUUUUUUCCUUGCUCAGUUGCCUGCAGAUAGCACGGGCAUUUGGGGCUUCUGAGAUUAUUGCUGUGGAUGUCCAAGAUGAGAAACUGCAGAAAGCAAAAACUCUUGGAGCUACUUAUACCAUAAAUGCACGAAAUGAAGAUGCUGCUAAAAAAAUUAAGGUAGUUGAUCCUUUUCUUUUGUAUUUAAUUUCGAGAUAAAACAAUUUCUUAUUAUAGGGUUUCUGAACAAUAAUGUUUUACACUUUUUGUCAUGUUAAAGUAGUUUCUUGAAAAGAUUGGCUUAGGCAUGUAAAGUCCUGCCAACGAAGUAAUUGAGCCUUCUUUGCAGGUGGGCAUGUGGUUCACAUUUUGCUUUUCUUGGGUGUAUGUUCUUACUUUUUUGCUAAUUUAGAUUAUACAUACAUGUGUUUCAAUGUGUUUCAUAUCUAAUAUUUUAAUUUUCAUGCUGAGUUAUUGUUCUAUGGAUUUGCAUCCUGAUGAAAACAUACCUAAGCUUGAAUCUUUCUGAUGCAAAACCUGAACUAUGGCAUUCUUCAUGCUGCUCUAUUAGAUAGUUUUGACUUCAUACAAUUUUAAUUAGCUUUCACAAGUACCCACCUUAUCCAUCUAGAUUGAAAAGUAGCUUUCCUAGAUUAAUUGCUGCUGCACACCCCUCUAGUCUUGUGCAAACAGAUUCAACAGUUUCUCUCUCUCGGUAUCUGCUUUUCCAUUUCUCUCUCCUUUUGACUUUCUAUAUGUGACUGCCCAUAGAUUUAUGUCUCUGACAGAACAUAAUACUUGAUUGGCAAUCAUUUGAAGCUAGAAGCUGCAUACAAGUUCUUAAUUAAAAAUUCCUUGUAAAGAGAUGAUUAAAGGUUCCGCGGAUAACAGGUUUAUUUUAACAGGAAAUAACAGGGGGAAUGGGUGUAGAUGUUGCUGUGGAAGCCUUGGGAAAACCACAAACCUUUAAUCAGUGUGUUCAGAGUGUUCGAGAUGGAGGAAAAGCAGUAAUGAUUGGCCUUACACUCUCUGGUGCCAAAGGCGAGGUUGACAUAAAUCAUUUGGUUCGUAGACAGGUGUGUGAAUUAUUUCAUAGAAAUUAAAAUUUCUGUUUUACAUAGUGAAUUUUUAUUCUAAAGUAGUAGUAGUAUUUUUCUUUACUCGAAAGCACAACAUGGACCCGUUUAAAUAAACAAUUUUGUUUAGAAAUUUGAAUUGUUCAGGGAAGGGAUAAUUUAGUUGGCAGGCCCAUGCUAAUUGUGUUAAAGGUAAAUUUCUAGAUUAGACAUGGUGAAAACUAGAAGGUACUAACUAGUUACUGGAAUUGAGGUCGUGCUUGUAACAAGUGACAUCUGAGUUCGUCUAGCUUGGUGAUUAAAAAGCAUCAGUAUCAAUCUCUAUUUGGCGGUAAAAACUAAAACUGGAAAUUACCGGCCUCUCUACAUGGUUAUUGAGGUUCCUUGCGACGAGUUGCAUCUUGUAUUCAUUCACCUUGCAAUUUAGAUUGUCGGUGGCCCUCCUAUUGCCAGUUACACAGUCAAAGUCAAGUUCUUGUGCUUCCCUUUCAGCAAGAGGACUGUAGGAAUGUGAUUCUGUCAUUCAGACAAUUCAUUGUCAAUAGCUUUUUCCUUGCUCAAGCUCUCCGAUAAUGCACAUUAGGCUUCUAGAUAAUCAGAUUACCUUUUCCAUUUCAUGCUUGUUGUGCGUAACAUACUUCUUUUGGCAUUUGCAUGUUGCAGAUAAAAGUAAUUGGAUCAUAUGGGGUAGGGCGAGGCAAGAUUUGCCCAAGUUGGUUAAACUAGCAGAAAGUGGCAUAUUCAAUCUCAAGGCAGCUGUUUCCAGGACAUUGACGUUUGAAGAGGCUGAUAAAGCAUAUAAGGACCUUGACAAGGGAAACAUUAUUGGACGUGCUGUUGUGGAGAUCAUGUAAUUUCGCACUCUGAAACUUUGAAAGAAAUGGUUCUUGCCAUGCCACAGUGCCGGCCUAUAAGUUCUUGUUGUCUGUGAAACUAGAGUUCAGUUUGUAAAGAAACAACUCUUUCUGAGUCUGGAAAGACAAAUGGAAAAUACUUUUGCUUUUUAAUAAGUAACAUUUUAGCACUUGAUUUUACUCCUUUAUAACUUGCAGUGGUCUUUUUAACUUGCAGAUAAUGCAACUUCUGCAAAAAUGCAUUUAGAUGUUCUCCUUUAUAUCUAGAAAUCUUCCAUUCAAGAAAAGCAUUAUCAAACUGCUAUUAUUCAUGCAGAGCAGUCAUUGUGCAUAUUGUACUGAAUGGACAAAUCAGGGUUUGGAUUGUGGUUUUACGCAGAAAACUUUUUACGUUUUCCGUGAACACAUUUUUCAAUUAUCUUUUUAUCUUAUAUAUAUCAAAUUAUUACAACAUAUUUUUCCACAAAAACUUCUAAAAAUAAUAAUUCAACCGACAGACCUGAACAUUCUCUUAGGUGCAAUUUGUCUUCUUAGCUUAACAACAGGCUUGUGGAGAAUGAAAAGAGAAAUUCCAAGAUAAAAAGAAUUACUAACAGGGAGGUUAUCUGGAAGAUUGAUCAAAUAAAGUAGGUAGAAUUUUGUUUACAAAAAUGGAUUUAUACUUCACGUCCCAUCUAUAUUAAGUUUUUCCUUUUUAAAUUUAUUUUUCAACAUAUCUAGUCUAUGCGGGAAUGGGGAGCUUUUCAAUCGAGUUCUGAUUGCUGACGUGGCGAGCUUCCAUUGGCCGAUUGGUGGUCGUCUGCCUCGUGUGAAUUCGCUCGCGUGAAUUUGGUCCGUCCAGCCGAUUGUUUCUUUCUUUUCUUUGUUUGCUUGGAUGUCUACAUUGGAGCCUGCCGCAAAAUUGUGGUCCCACGUCCUUUGGUUUUUUUUCCCUUUUCUUUUUUUAAAAUUGGAUGGAAGUGCUUGUUAAUAACCUUUUUUUGGAUGCUACACCCCUCUCAUUCCCUUGUUGGUUUAGAAUUAUCCCGGCAGAAUUAUCCAAUAAUUCCCUUAUUGAAUUGGAAUUAUCCCUCUUUUUAAACUAUCUAAUUAGCAUUUUCCCCAAUUGUUAGCUAAAGAAUGCCUUUUGUGGUUCCUAAAAAAAACGCACAUAAUUAUCAAAUUCUUUCCAAUUAAUUGUUCGUUAACUGAUUAAUAAACUCGAUUUUUACUUAUUACGUAACAAAUCGCAUUUAGCUAUCCCCCUCUUACAAUUAUUGACAUAUUUGGACUUUCCAACUAAAUCGCAAUUACUUAUCGAUUUCUUGUAAUUGCCUUAUAUUAAUUAUUGGCACAUGCUUUUUUUUUUUUAGAAUGAGAGGGGGUUUAUUUGGUAUCGAUUUUACGUAAACAAUCAACAAUGUGGUGCGCUUCCGUUGGUGUCAUUUAUCGUUUGUCCACGCCGCGCACCGCAUUUGAUUAUCGAUUCUCCGUUGUUAAUUUUUAUAACUAUUUAUUUAUCUCUUUUUAUUUGGAUUCCCUUUUUUUAACCAAUAAAUCACGUUUAAUUACCAAUUAUUUAUUCUUAAUUGUUAAUGACUUAUUAAUGAUGCCAUUUUUUCCCUUUCUCAACAAUAGAUUGUGUUGCCAAAAAACUUGAUAUCCCGGUUCUUUACAAUUAUUACUACUUUCCCUUUGUUUCCAGAUAAAUUGCACUUAUUAAUAAUUAUUUUUUUUUUGCAAUAAUUGCUUAUAUAUUAUCUUUUUUUGCAAUAAUUGCUUAUAUAUUAUCUUUUUUUAAAAUUGCUUUUGUUAUCCUUCAAUUGUGAAAAUUUUACACUUCAAUUGAUUUUACCUGGUCACGCCACACACCAUGCUUAAUUAUUGAUUCCCGACUAUUAAUUGUUAUAAUUAUUUGCUUACCUAUUUUUAUUUGUGUUCUUUUUUUUGUUAGCAAACAAAUCAUAUUUGAUUACCAACUUUUUAGAAUACAUUGUUAAUAACUGAUAAAUAAUACCAUUUUUUUUUAUCGCCAUUUUUUGUUACCCAACAACUGGCAUUUAAUUCAUAACUUUUUUGCAAUUAUUAGCAACAUUUCUUUUCUUGUCAGAGAUAUCACAUCUAAUUUCCUUUUUUCCAAAUUUCAUUAAGAAAAUGUCCUCUUUUGUUUUGGGUUGCCCAACAAAUGGACUUUAAUUAUCAGUUUUUUUCAAUUACUCUUUUAUUAAUUCGGUUCUGAUUUGGCAGUUUUAUUGCUACAAAAAUCACAUUUAAUUGCUGGCCUUUUUUAGUAUUAAUACUUUUUGUUACCCACAAAAAUCGCAUUUAAUUACCAAUUCUAUGUAGUUAUUAGCCAAGAAAUAUGCUUGUCUUAUUCUUUUCUUUCGUUACUUUUCCUGUCGUAACCAAACUCCUUAUUGCUAAUCUGAUUGACUCAUUUUUACAAACAAGCCUGCAUCUUGUUUGUUUAGUUCCAGAGCAAGCUUUCUCGAGUUCCUCAUCAGUCACUACUUGUCACCAGCCUGUUUCUGCCGACAAGUGACUGUACUUGACCUGAUUAAUUGCUACCUUAAUUUUCUAUAUUACCCAUCCCUUGUGACUAUAUUUACGAUUCCACUCCAUGGACCUUGUCGCCUUUUGUCCUUUACUUGAGGUUAUGUUUGUAAAUCUAUAAACAACCGUCAUUUUUCGCCAUUGUCUACCAUCAGCUUCCUUUUGCUGCGGUUGAUUGACACUGUUUGGUGUUUUGCAUUUGCACAAUGGAUACAGAGUUUCUCUGGUUUUCCGCGGCGGAUUUUCUACUGAGCAUCAUCAUGAACAAUGGUAAUUGUGCACCCGCUGCAUUCUUUUCUCUAUUCUAAAACUCUUGUUUCUUUGUUAGCCAGAGGGAACUACCUCAUACCGAUUGUUCUUCGUUUUCUUUGGCUGUUUUGAACCUUCAUUUUCCCUAAUUUAUCAGUUUGGUUUUAAUUUGCACUGGUGCUGUCGUUUUUGCUUUCCUGUGAGCAUGUUGGUUUUAUAUUCGGCUUAAUUUGUUGUUCUUUAACUGUUUAUAUAUUUCAAAGAUUGCUAUCAGGCUGCUUUGCUUUUUAUUUCUUCCUUGCUUCUCGGCUUUCUAAUGCACUGGUUCAACUAUUUUUCCUCUUUUUUUGUCUGCCCCUUCUAAAUUAUUAUCACCGAAUUAGCUUCUAUUUUUCUCUCCCAUUUUUUUCACCUUUUCUUAUGACCUCUUACAUGAUUGCCAUUUCUUUGAUAGUUUCUGCUGCUAUUCACUUCUGCGGUGUUGAGCUUCUUCGUGUUCACAGGUUAGCUCUUCUGAUUUUGUUCUCGUUUUGCUCUUUUCUCUAUAUUUUAUCCUUAAUUUGUGCAUCUUUGGGAUAUAUUUUCUGAUGCAUCAGCACUUAUGGCCUGCUCCAGCUUUUCCUUUUUUUAGUUUGUGACUUUUUGACUUCCUGUAUCUUUUGUGAUCCUUAUUCUUGCAUAUACGUGUUAUUCUAUUGUUUCUGCUGCUAUACUUACAUGCCUGAUUAUUUUUUAUGUAAGCAUUUGUUCUUUGCUCGGCUGCCGCUAUUAACUCCUUCAUCUCUUUGUGUUCGCUUGUUUUUUGCCUGCUCUGCUUUCUGCCAGUUUUCGAUUUACAUUCUUUUUUGCUAAGUUAGACAUUCCUUUCUUUAUAUAGUCCUUCGACAUUUUUUGCUCUUACUAAAAAAUGAUGGAUGGAAAUGCUACUCGCCGCAAAAAAUACGCAGAAAUGCCAUCUUCGAAAAAAAUGCAACUUCUGCAACGCCGGAAAGAAAAUAGAGCUGCCAAGAAAAAGAAUGCGCAUUUACUCCCACGUAUUCGUAAGGUUCCACUGGGUUAUAUGGAAUCGGGUGUUUCUUUCCCUGAUUCGCAUCAUGAAACCCUUGAUGGUGCGAAUCACUCUUCUAUGCAUAGUGAAAUCUUAGGAGCCGAGGCCUUGAAGAGCGGUAAUGACAAUGCUGCUGUCAUUACUGAGGCAUUACAAUAUAUGUCCUCUCAUGAAUCCGCUCCUUUUAUUCCUCGCGUCCAUUCUGCUCCCUCUUCUCAGACUGCAAACGACAUAGCGGGAAUCUGAUAUUUGAUGUUAUUCACUUUUGUGAACUACAAAAACAAGUUCUUCUGCCUUGGACCGCCCCCCUACCAGAUCUAUUGCACAUGAAUGCCAUUGCAUCAAGAGGUCAAAAUACCGCUGUACCUAUCUCAUAUCCUCAUCUAUAUAGUAUAUUAUUUUAAUGUAACACAGUCAUUUGAUGACAGAUGAUAUCCACAUGGCCGCUACACACCAGCAAGUUACUUCCUCGCUAAGACCAGAUUUCUGUCAAGAUCUAUCUGAUUCAGUGUGCUUUUAUCAAAUCUUUAACUCCGCAACUCCAAACAGCUUGGUAAGCUAUUCUAUGUUUACCUGCAUUCUCUUUUUUCAUCUCAACUUUCUCGCAAGCAAUUUCCUUUUGUUUCUGCAUAUCUUCUAAUCUGCACCUUUUGAUGAUAGAAUAUUCCGCGCUUUGUUGAUCACUUCAUCAAUGAUAUCAAGACUCCCAUGUUACUUAUCAACACUGGACAAAAAACUACUCAAAUUGCUGUAAAGCAUAAACGCCUUCAUCGAAACUGGAGAGAUUUCGUUCUUCAACAUCAAUUGCAACACAAUGAAACUCUGGUCUUUGUUCCGGAAUCUGAAAAUAUAUUUACAGUUUUAAUCUUCGAUGAUACCGGAGUUGAAAAAUAUUUUCCUUGGUAUCACACAUUCAAUAUUUAUUCGGAUGCUUAAUGAAUUUAGCUGAACCGUGCAGUGUAAUUUACCUAUCGAUUGAAUACAUUACUGGUAGUUUCCACUUCUUCUUAGCUAAACCAAGCAACCACUACCCCACGAUCAGUGUUAAUGCAUUGAUUCUUCUUUGAAUUAACUAAUUUUACAAAAUUAAUUAUUCAACUGGGCAUCACUGUGCAUCACUGCUUUCACCCACCGCGCUAUGCGCGGUGAUCCCUCCUAGUAUUUAGAAAAGGAGUGAUGGGAAGGGCGCAAAAUCAACCUCAGGCCACGUCAGCGCCUUCCCCCCACCCCCCUCGGCCUCCUUCCCUCUCCAUUUUAAACAGAAAACAUAAACCCUAACACACACUCAUUCACUUCCUCCCGGUCCUCUCGCUCGCUCUCAGACAAAUAGAAUGAAGAAGAAGAACCAGAAGACGACCGACUCGUCGGCCGCAGCUCUUAUUCCUACACGUUCUACGGCCGAUCUCAAAGCCCUAAUUCAAUCUCACAGCGACUUCUUCGACAGGCUAAUCGAACUCAUCCCAGCAAGAUUCUACCUCCCACCUGAUGACGACGUUUCUGACAACCCCAAGCCCUACUUCCACGGCCUCUCCAAAGCUGCCAAAGCUUCCCUCAAACGCCAAUCCAAGCAAAACCUCAAACUUGCCCGCCGCAACCGCCUCGACCCGGACAAAAUCUCCCAUUCCUCCACCCUCGACCUUCUCAAACAAUCCCUGGACACCAGUGCCCAUGGCGGUGAGGUUGCUGAAAUACCCCCGCAAGACGUCCCGAGGGCUAUUGAUUUAGAGGAGAAGAAUGGUGGGGAUGGUAAUGAUGGUGAAAAGGGUCAAGAAAAGCAGGUUACUUACGAAGAAUUGCGUGAGAAAUUGAGGAAAAAGAUUGAGUCGUUACGCGGGAAUCGAGGCGAGGGAAUAGGAGUGCUAGGAAGGGGAGGGAGGAUAAUAAGGAUAGAGAUAAUCAUAGAGGAGAAAAGAAGAGAAAGAGGGAUGGUGAAGGGAGCAGUGGGAAGGGUGUUGAAGUGGUGGAAAAUGACAGUGAAGAGAUAAUAGAGUAUGGGAAAGUGAAGAUAGGGACGAUGAGAUGGAAGGGGAGAAGAGGAAAAAGAAGAGGAAAAUGUCGAAGGUGAAGGAGUUGGAUAGAGCUAAGCGGUUGGAGGAGGUCAAGAAAGAGAAUCCCAGGGUAGCAGAGAGGGAAUGGUGGAGGGCAGCUGAGAAUAGGGCAAUGGGAGUGAAGGUGCAUGACGAUCCAAGGUUGUUGAGGGAGAGUAUGAAGAAGGAGAAGAAGAGGAAGGAAAAGAAUGCAGAGAAGUGGAAGGAGAGGAUUGAGGGCCAGGAGAAGGCUAAGGAGGGGAAGCAGCAGAAGAGGAAGGAGAACAUUGAAGGGAGGAUUAGGGAUAAAAAGAUGAGGAAGAUUGCUAAAAGGGAGAAGAAGCUCAUGAGGCCUGGGUUCGAGGGGCGCAAGGACGAGUACAUUACGAAAGAUUAAGGUUAGGGGAAGUAAAACUUUUUUCUGGAAAUGGUAUUUGUGUUUUUGGGGUAAUUUGUUUUGGCGAAAAUAAUGUGUUUUAGGAAAAUGUAAGUAUUUCGCAAAAAGCAGAAAUAUCUAGUUACAGAGGUUGCUCAUCUAACUGCUUCAUAUAUGUGUCUCAAAGUUAUAUUUGUAUUCAGCUAUUAGUCUAGUCAGCUAUGUAUGACUUAUGUUUGGGGCUGGCUAUUGCUCUAGUCAAUGAUAGGCAAGCAGUGCAUUAGGUAAAUUAAUCAUGAAGGGUCCAAGGGGAAUGAACUAUAUGUUGAAUGUUCUCCAAAUGUUGGUGGUCUUUGAAGUCAUAGUUACUUGGUCAUCAUCCUACUGCAUUAACUUUAGCAUCCUUUGUUCUCUUUCUUGGCCUGCAAUUUUGAUUCUUGGACUGUUAUAGCCCUUUGAGUUAUCUGGUCUUAGACAGCAAACAUAAUUGACAGAACAUUGUUGCUUUUAUGAAGUUAUCCAGUCCAAUGAUGAGCCUCAUUGGCCACCUUUUGAGUAUAUUGCUGGGAUAGUGACCUUCUUUCCUCUCUAAAACACAAACCUGACAUUGCUAGAUGCAAACUGCUUCAUCGGUGGAAAACUUCUCUUUAACAAUAUCUAAAGCUGAUCUUUACUGUCUGCUGUACUCCUUUUCUUCAGUAUUAUCAAAUUCUGAAUGGAGGUGUUUAAGGGAAAUGGACCGUAUCUUUUCCUUGAUCUUCUAGAAACCUGAAGAUGAAUGAAGGGAAAUACUUCUAAUAGGUUUUGGCAGUGACUUAUCACUCAGUACAAUCAAAUAUAUGCAUAUUACUUCAGGGUAUCUUGUUUCAUCUUUUGAACUUCAUUUUACAUGUACACAUGCAAGAAAAUUGUGAGUGUAUAAUUUCUGUUUCUGAUUGACUUUCUUAUUACCUGUUCCUCUUUAUAUUUUCUUUUAGCAUUUUGGCUUUUGUAUCACUUUUUUUGUGGCCAUUUCUAUCCUUGAGGAGUUUAUAUGUUAGUUCAAUGUUAGUUGGCAUCUGACAUUCACGGCAAUAUGGAUACAUUCAGACAGCUUUUUACGCUUUUUUUUCCUUUUUUUUUUUUCAGUUCUUUACUACUGAACCUUUUGCCUGCAACCCAUUAAGCUUGCCAAAGUAUCCUCCGAGCAAGGAAAUUGACCUCAAAUUGAGAGAUGAAGAAGCCAGGAGGUACUUUUGCAUCCUAUCCUCAGAAAUUUUCCUACUGCUCUAUGUAUAUACUAACUUGAAGGUGUUUUUAGGCAAAGAGGUUUAAGUGGGAAACCACAUGCUGUAGAUGGUGCGAGAAGAGUGAGAGCUCGUGACCGGAUUAGUCGAGCUGUUCCAGCUCCAGAAGCUAAUGCAGAGAAUCAAGCAAAUUUAGAUGUAAGGAAAACAGUAUCUACUUCCCUUAAAACUGAAUAUUAGCCUGCUUAAGUUGAUUCUGCUCUCUAUUAGUCUAGCUCAUAGAAUGGAAAUUGCCAUUUUCUAAUGUCUUGUCAAGUCAGUCCUCAUCUGGUUCUGCACCACUGGCUUUGAAGUAACAGGCACAGUCACCUCUAAAUCUUAGGUUCCCCUUCAUUUGUGGUUUCUUGAGUUUUCCAUAUGAUCCCGCUUGCCUAGCUAACAGUAAUUUUGCCAAAAAGAAUUGAGUAGGAAAUUAUCUUGAGUCUUUUUUUGUUUCUUUUUUCAUCCUGACAUAAAAAUUUCAGACAAGGUGUUUGCUUCUAGGUUUAAUGAGUUUAUCCAUCAUUUACCCAUUUUUUCUACCCGGCAUUUAUAUUACUUACUUAUCUGCAGAGGUGGAGAAUGAUGACAGAAGCAAAUGCUAAGAGCAAAAGCGAAAAAUUUCCACCUCCUCAUCAGGAUGCGGCAGUAGGAUACCCUCUCGAUAACUCCAAUAAUGGCCCUUUAUCGUUUAAUGUGGCUGACAAUUCUUUUAAUUCAUCAAUUUUUGAUCCAAAGUCAUCUCGAUCUCUUAAGAAUACUGCAGCAACUGGUGGACCGUCCAGGAGGAGAAUUAAGAAAGAAGAACCUCAGAUGGUGCCUUCUCGAGGAAUUUUUAAUGCCUUCCUUCCAUCUACAGUUAGGUUAUCAAUGGAUCUAAGGUUCAAGAAGGAAUCAGCUUCAGAGAUUUUUGGUCGCCAAAAGUAGAGUAUGCAUAAGAAAUAAAAAGGUUUUGUGGAUCAAAGUGUUUUUUCUGGCAUUUAAUUUUAUUUUUUUUUCGCUCUUCAUUUUUUUUAUCCAUUUUUUGAGCCUUGCAAUAUUGGAGGCGCUUUUGUAAAUUCUCAAAAGGAACAUCUAAGAAAUUAUGAGUAAAAUUUUCUAUUGAAUUCCCCUCGUUUUUGUACAGUUAAUAGUGCUUCUUGUAAAGUUUCAGAGCUUGGGCCUUCACUUACUUGUAGUUACUUCCUAUGUAAUGAUUCCCCAAAUUCAGAUACACACAUCUUUCUUUGGCUUGGGAAAGUUCUUGUGGGGAUAAAAACUUGUAUCUUGCUGUCUUUUCAUCACCUUGAUCCUCAUUUUAAUUUUUAGCUGUAGUACAGUUGAGUGUUUGAUUUAUGCUAAUUCAGAAGUCAAGAAACGCCCUCGAGCUAGCGGCUUGAAUCUUUGCUAUCUUCCCUAAUUUGUGAGUUUUCUUCAAGAGAUGGGACGAUGGAAGAAGAUGCUAAAAGGCAGGAUAUAUGCUUUGAUAUCUCUUGAUCUCAAGAGGGCUGAGGCAGAUAUAGUAACAAAUAACAGGGAUUGAUACAAGACCUGGAGAAACAUUUUGGCAACGAAUUUUGGUCACAGGUUGCCAAGCCCUUGGCAUGGACUCCGUUUGUAACAUUCAAGAUAGAGUGCUCAUGUGACAUGUAUUUUUAUUCUCAUUGCUGUAAUCGUAUGCCGCAGGUAUGCUUGUAACAAGGAUGCCAAAUACUGAUCUUUAUCCUAUGCAUUGAGAUCAGUAGAAUCGCAUUAUUCGCAUACUUUUAUGGGAGCCUUCCCUUGAGUUUGUUUAGAUUAUCUCUUGUAAAGUUUGUAAUUUGAAUUAGCAAUUGAUUGAAUCUGCAGCUUCGAUUGAAAACAAUACGUGCACGAAAUCAGAGAUUUGGGGAUGUUCUUUAGAGGCAAAGGUGAAUAUGACAGCAAAGGUUGUACAUGACGUUACUGCGAGAAUUUUUCUUCUUUUUCUGAUGUAACAUAUCGCACGAAUCUGAUUCUUUAUCUGAACAACUCAUCUUCUGUAGUUUUGUGAUAAGAUUACAAGAAUCCACAAUAGUGGGAUUAAUAUAAAUAAAUCACAAACUCAAACUAACUCACACAAAUAUGGUUCAAAGUUGCGGUUGCAAUCGCGAUCGUGGUCUAAACCGUUCCACAUCGAUUUCGACAUGUCGGCGAGACGUAAAUUUUAAAACAUUUAAUAUUCUAAAAAUUGUGAAUAAUAUAAAAAAAUGAUAAACAAAAAUAAUAAAAAAUUAGUAAAACUAAUAAAAAUUUAAGUUGACUUGAAAUGAUUCAGGACAAUUCAACCGUUCUUAUCCGUCUCAGAGAUGUGUCGGCCAAGUUCUCAUUGAUCCAUUAUCUUGAAAUUAUCUCGUUUCGAUAUCGUAUCCGAGAGCUCCGUUCCGGUGACGGCCGAGUCUUUGAACCAUGCUCACAAAUGAAAGAAAUUACAAUUCAACAUAGCUACAAACUAAUCACAUAAAGUAGGAGAGGAGUCUAACAUUAGCGAGACUUGAACCAAAAGUACAGGCCUUGGGACCUCAAUCUUAACUAUUAGACUAAAGUUUUAUUAACAUCUUUUGUAGAUUUAAAGACUAUGAGUCAUUUUCAACAACCAGUCAUAGUAGUAGAAAUAUGAGUAAAUGUGUUGGUUGCAACUGUGAUGAAGAAGGUCGCUGAAAGGAAAACACAGCUGGGGAUGGCAGUUGCUUCCAUAAUUACUUUUCGAGCUAAUAAUGUGGUUGGAAUCUCGACUGUCGUCCACAACUUUGGGAAUAUUUCAGUCGUGAUGCUUAAUACUAAUGGCUGCAGGCAAGGAGACUGAGAGAACCUCCUAACCCCACCACCUACAACGUGACAAUUAUGCCAGUGGCAAUACAUUUGAGGUUCUUUAUUCUUUGCUCGAGAAUAAAGACCAAUAGACAACAUUGCUUGGACAAGGCUCAGAAGCCUCUCCUCUCUAUAAAUUUGUAGUCAAGUCCUCUCAGUUCGCUUCACUAUAUCUUUCUUAUGUAGACUUGGCCAAUUAACCUGCAAUUAGAGAAUUGAGGAUGAAACCUCAACAAUUCUCUGGUGAUCAUCAUCACCAUCAUGACUCUUUGAUGAAUCGUCGUGACUCGAAGAGAACAGUCACCAUACAAGAGAAGCUAAGGUUAGUUUAUGAGAAAGCUCUGGGGAAAAUGGCUGCAGGUCAAACUUCGAUGGGAGAUGGUGGCCGAAAUAACAUAAUCCAGGAACAUGAAAGACGAAACCAGCGCUCCUUUAUCGAAGAUCCCAUCAGGACUAUGAUCUUCUUGGGCUCCUGGAGCCAUACUUGAAUCUGCUCCUCGUGGCCAGUCAAUUCAACAUCAUGCAGGGCUUGCUAUUCUCACACAAAAAUGCAUGAUGACAAGAUAUAUGUCAUCUCACCUACCAUGUACUUUAAGCAGCAACACAGGGAUUUAAAGUAUAGAAGAGAAAUGUAAAUAUUGCAUCUGUAUGUUAGCUAUAUCAACCCUUUAUUUGCAUGGUUUUCUAACCAAUAUCAAUAAGAGUGACAAUUACCAAUGAUCAAGAAGUAGCUGCACUGACACGUAUAUAUAUUAAAUAAACCAAUGAUGCAACGACUGCAAAAAUGUAAAUGAGUUGGCUUUCCAUAGAAAUAACACCAUACAAUGUACAGAAGAACACAUAAGAAAUGACUUGCUCCCCUCAAUGUUUCGCAAAACAAGAUAUUCUCCUCCAGCAGUGAAUGCAGGAAAGUCAAAAAAAUACUAGACCUAUGAUGCCGUGCACGUUUAUUGCAAUGUUUCCGAGUAUGAACAGAUUAGUUUAGUUAAUCCAGUUGCACCAGGAAGAUGAGAGUUCCAGACUCCAAACAGCUGCAUCAAGAUUUGGUUCAAAAGACUCGUUGUUCAAUCGAUGAAAAAAAACCGUGAAAAACAAUCGCAAGAAAGCUUUGUAAUCCAGCAGCUUAGGCAUUUACAGCCACUGGAACUGAUCUAUAGCAGGUCCUCUUUGCUGCACGUACAAUAUCGUCAACCUGUUUGGAGGGAACCCCCAAGUAAAAGCACGCAGAUAGAUAAUGACGAAUUUCAGAAAGUAGACUUACUAAAAGACAAUGUAGAGACAUAGCUUAAAAAAAAUAAAAGUAUGCCAAGCAGAAGUCAGUACCACUUGAAACACCCUGUUCAUUGUGGAGUUGAAUAUUACAUAUACAACGCACAACACAAAAAACAAGGUGAUUAUUUUGUCAUCCUUUUAUUUUCUUUUUGAUGUUAAGACUUCUCACUUUCAUCUUUAAUGUCUGAUUCUUUUACACAAGCAUAUAUUCAAUCCAUUCUGUAUGUGGAAGUGUGAAUGACGUCUACAACUGUUUCUUCCCUUUAAAGCAUGCAUAACCCAUAGUAACCUCUGAAGUUUUAGCUAAAAAAUGUGAAGCUGCAAAAGGAGAAAGAAGUUCAGAAAGAACAAACCUGUGGGACAGCCAUUCUCUCAAGAUUGGCUGCGUAAGGCAUGGGAACAUCAGCCCCUGUAAUUCUUUCAACAGGUGCAUCAAGAUACUCAAAGCUCUCCUCAACAAUAGAUGCACUGAUGAAAUGGACAAUGAGAUAAUUAAACACAUAUCAAGAAAAGAGAAGUAGAUGCACAAUAGAAAGGUUUGAAAGAAAGAUAACAAAAAAGAAAAUCAACCAGAUCUCAGCCCCAACACCAUGUUGUGGAAACCCUUCUUCAACAGUCACAAGCCUGUUCGUUUUCCUAACAGAAGUAUUGAUUGUGGCUCUAUCAAGUGGCCGGAUUGAGCGCAAAUUUAUAACCUGCAAUUUGAAAGAACAAAACUUUUAACACAACAAAGUACAUUUUCGUCUUGUUACCACACUGCUUAUUAGAAUAUGGAAGAACUUGCAAUUUUAAUGUACCUCAGCACUGACUCCCUCCUUUGCCAGAAUCUCAGCAGCCUACAGAUCAUUACCUUAGGAUUUCAGUAGGUGGAUAUACAAUUGAAAUUAAAAACUCAUCAUUUUACAGAAAGUAUGGGCAAAUCGUACAAUAUCUGAAAAAACAAAGGGUCUGUUUAAAUUGGAAGCUUUUCCCAAAACACAUCUAAAAACACUUCAAAUACCAUCUCAUAAACACCUACCAAAAACACUCAUAACAAAAAAAAAAAAAAAAAAACUGCCACCUCUUAUUCUUCUCCACCCACCACCACCAUCUCUCCUCUCCUCUCCUCUCCCCUCCUUCCCCACCACCACCCCACCCUCCUCUCUCUAGCACCAAUGCCAAUGCCUCGACCAGCAACACCUCCACCACCUGCACCACUACCUACUCUUCCCCCCUCCUCCUCUCUCCUUCCUCCUCCUUUUCCCCUUCCUUCCCCUCCCUGCCCGUGGCCAGAUUUGGUUGCGAUGACCAGAUUUGGUCGUGACCAGUCUAAGAGGAAGAGGGAGGAGAAAGGAGGGGAGUGGAGGUGGUGGUGGGGUAGUGCUGCAGCCUGCUGAUGGUGGCUAGGGGAGGGGGGAUGGAGAGGGGGUGGGAGGUGGUUUUGAGGUAGGGAGGAAAAUUUUGAAAAUACCCCAAUAAAAUUUUAAAUUUUAGAAACACCCCCAAUAUACAUCUACAGUGAGUUUUUAAUAUACAAAGCUACAUUAAAGUUUUCACAAAACACCCGUAAAAACACCUAAUCCAUACAGACCCUCAAAAGAUAUCUCGUUUCUUCUUCAACUUUUCUGUCAUGAAAGUUUAAUAAUCACACCCAAAAAAAAAAAAAAAUCAAAAUUUGGUACAGACCAUGAAAUACUAAUACUAAAGAAUAUCACCACAAAAAAUGGUGAAUGAACAGCUUGACAAAACCUAAAGAGAAACUGCCCACCAUGUGGCACAUAUGGUCAUCUUAAUCUUAAUUAUCUUGUCAACUAUCUGCAGACUGACAAUUGACUAAUGAAAAGUUGAUUUUAACCCUCAAACCACUAACAAUAGGGAAAAAAAAUAAAAAUAUACCAGAAGGGCAUGGACACUGAACUACUGUUGAGCAUCUUUUAUGCUAAUUCCCUCAGGAAUGUGUUGUAUACAGUAUAUAUAGAUCAAAUUUCUGUAAUUAUAUGUGUACUUGCAGUAGUUGAAAGUUCUUGAGUGCUUCCUUGAUAAGGUCAUUUUACUUAUCAAAAGAAUAUAAAUAUACCUACUCUCAAUAUACAACUUAAUUGAUGCCAUAACAAAAAUUUACCCAUCUGAAUCAAGACUACUUCCUAAACUGAGUUUUAUACAGAUGUCAACAACACUACUCCAUUAGGUUUCUUUAGACAAAGGCCCAAGGUUCAUCAAAAUUGAAUCAUCUCUACACGAAAGCUACUACUUGGCUUUAACUUGUAGAAUGAGGUCAAUCACUCAGACAGACAAAAUGUUGACAUUGAAGAGAAUAACAAACCUGAAGAGCAUAGCCAACCAUUUUCGAGAAAGCAACAAUAGUCACGUCCUUUCCUUCACGCUCUAUCUGCCAAUGACAGCACAGUGAAAUGAUUGCAUUGCUGGAAACAAGGAACACAAAACUACUAGAAGAAAUACCUUAGCUUUCCCAAUUGGAAGACAGAAGCUGGAAUCAAGGGCCUCUGCCGAAAUAGGGAAAGACUCACCAUACCUGUGACACGCAAGUGAUUCCACACAAUAUGAAUGUUGCCAUGUAAAGUGCAGCAAUUUUCACUAACAAAAUCACCAUACUCAAAACUCUCAGAUAUUACUUACAGCAAUUCAUUUUCAAGGAAAACAACAGGAUCCGGGUCUCUUAUGGCAGCUUUUAACAGGCCACGAGCAUCCUCUGAGUUGUAUGGCACAAGUACCUUCAACCCCGGACAUGAAGCAUACCAUGCUGCAUAGCACUGCAAAAAGGUAUAAACUUGAGCUGUACAAACAAGUGCUGUUUCUGCAUCAUGUGAUGUGAACAUUCCCAGUAAAUUUACCGCCUCAACUAAUGAGUCAACAGACUGGAAUACAUUGUUAAUAGGCAUCUAUCAAGCACUAGGUCCAGAAACUUCAUGGCACAAUGUCUAGAUUUUCUAAAAUCUUUAUGCUCUCCCUUGGAGCAUAAGAACGAUUUCUUCCUAUAAUUCCAGAUCGAAAGAUAUUUAUAAAAUGACUUAGGAACUAAAACAGGACUCACUAGAACAGGGUUUAGGAUCCAUCUAUUUCAAUUUUCAGGAAUUCACAUUAUUGACAAAAAAUGUCAUUUUAAAAAGGAGAAUUCUUGAGCUUAAAUGCUCCAUAUAUCUGGAAAGGAGCAUUACUCUCUAUCCACUUUUAAAAUUUAGCUAUAUUAAUCAUGAAUUCAAAAACAUCAAGGCUAACUAGAUUACUUCCUCAAUUUUCAUAGUAAGCAUCAGGAUAGUUUGACCCAUCCUUACUUACAAAACCCUUUAUUCACUAAGGUCUACUCAGAUCAAAAAGUUUCUACGUUUAGCUGCUCUCACUUCUAGCAUUCAACAUCUCGUAAGUUUUUUUUAAUCAUCUUUAUUCUGUUCCUUUAAUAUCUCACCAACAUUAUGACCAAAAAACAAAAAAUAAAUUAAAUUCCACCAGUCUCAAUAGCCACAAGAAACCUGUCAAGUGAUGCAUUUGCGUUUCCCUUGCUAUUAGUAAAAUUAUCAACCUUAAACAACAAAGCUAUGACUCUGAAUCUCACAACACAGCCAUGGAAUGAGAAUUUGACAAUUGAAAACUUACCUGGGAAUGCUGGGCACCAACUCCAGCAGCAGCUCCAUUUGGACCCCUGAAAACAAUAGGCACUGAAAUCUGACCAGAAGACAUAUAGUUUGAUUUUGCUGCAGAAUUGAUGAUGUGGUCAAUUGCCUGCAAACAUUCCCAGCAGAAAUCUCUUAUUAGAUAAGUUAUACAGAUCAAGCUACAUAUGCCUCAUAAAUCCUCCAUCUUGCGUACCCUCAAUAGCACUUUCAAAAAAUUCAUAAGACCAAUGAGUUUGUUAAAAGGAAAUAUAAGAUUAUUUUAAACCCUUUGCACACGCAAGACACAAAAACGCUAGGCUAUUUACACUGCUGAAGGCUAGGGGCUUAUUCCUUUACCAUCCUUAAAGGACCAAUAUCAUAAAAGGAAAAUGAUCCAUCAACCAGAAUGAAGCCUCCUUUAUAUGUUGAAAUAGAAGAGAACAAGAAAGUAAUUUACCCCAUGGCAGAUAGACAUCUAGUUCUAAACUACACUAGAGCAUAUAUCCAAAUCUAUCACUAAAGUCAAGGAUAACUAACUUGUUUUCCCCAGCAAAAGGGAAAUCCUGAGAACAUCCCAAAAGAUAGACAAUGCCUUUUUAGCACAGCAUUGAAUCAGUCUCUAGCUAAAAAUGUAGUGCAGUUCCGCCCAGCCAUAAAUGAUAGAUCCAUUAUAUUAUACAGCAAAUGGUAUCAAUAAUGAAAAACUUAAGACCAGCAUAAUCUUCAAAAGACCAUACUAAUGAAUCAACUAACCAUCAUAGCUGCUGCUAUUCUAAAAGCUUGAACAUCAUGAAUCACAAAACAAAAGAUAUUACACAUUAUGUAGAUAGGAAGCCCAAACGUGUGUAAGUUGGCAAUUAUUUCACAUAAGACUUGAAGGUAAACUACAACACUAUUAAAAACGCGAAAAAAUGAUGACACAAACCAAGUUAUCAGCACAAGGCCCAAAUAUGCCUUCAAAAGGACAAGAAAUAGUAUCAAAAUGUACAAAGAAAAGAAGUUUGACCUGCAUUGAAAAGUUAAAAGUCAUGAACUCUACAACAGGCCUCAAACCAUGGUAGGCUGCACCAACAGCCAUUCCUGUAAAACCAGCCUAAAACAAAUAUCACACCAUUAGACAAUACCUUCUUCCCUCUCAGUCAACAGAAAAAAAGUUUUAUGUCAUUAAAUGAUUCAAGAACAAGAAUCAACCUCAGUAAUAGGAGUAUCGAUAACUCUCUUAGGACCAUACUUGUCCAGAAGCCCCUUAGAAACCUAGACACCAAGAAACAUUAAACCAUUGAUAAUGUUAGACAAAUGAUCAAAAAGAAAACAUGGCCAAAUUUCGAAACCAAUGUAAUCACCAAGCCCGCAUGUCAAUGAGUUUCUCUAACCUUGUAUGCACCUUGAUAUUCACCAACCUGAUUUCACAAAAAAAAAAAAAAAACUAGUUAACAACCAUGAACUUAUUCACCACUAAAAAGCUAAACUAAACAAUCUAGAAUAGCUUUAAAAAUAGAUAAUAAAGGCAAAAUGGGACUAUUAUACCUCUUCACCCAUUAACAAAACAGAAGGAUCUGCAGACAUUUCCUCAUCUAGUGCAGAAUUUAAAGCAUCCCUUACUGUCAUCUAUAAAAGGCCAAUAAUUAAUUUUGUACACGAAAGUCAAAUAUUGGAAACAAUUUGUUAUCCAAAAGUUAGUAUAAAAAUUGUACAAACAAAAGAAACAGAUAUCAACAUUAAAAGCUUAAUCACCUCUUUUCCUCCAGCAGAAGAGGAAUAAGUCCUGGAUGCAAUUACACGAAUUCCCUUCAAAAAUUAAAGUUCCCAAAUUAAAAAACAAGAAAAAAAAAGAGCCAAUAAUAUUACCGCAAAAAAAAAGGGAUUUUUUAAGCAUUUGGUACCCAAGCGGGAAUUCCUCCAGGUGCGAUUAUUUUCCUUAAAAUUGCCGACAUAUUCUCUUCUUCUUUUUAUUCAACUCACAGAAAUAAUCCUAGGCAGAAUCACAAAUACAACAUUAAUCAACAACUCCAUCAAAAGCAAUGCCAGAAAAACACGAACCAGGUGGAAAAAUAAACAAAAGAAGAGAUUUUUCAGACCUCGAUCCCGAUAGGAGGGUAUAAAUACGUUAAAAAAGAAACAGGUUCGUCGUCUUUUACCUCAGCUGGAAGAACAAAUCGUUAGUGAGAAAAGGAAGAAAGGCAAUGGACUCCUGAUUGGUGAAUUGCUGAUGAUGGGCGAGGGAUGGUGGAAUCGGUGUUAGGUGGUGUUUGGGAGGCUUCGACUUUUUUCGCCUACCAAUAUUUUAUUUAUUAUUAUUAUUAUUAUUUUGGGUAAAAAACAAAAAAAUCCUCUUGACAAAUCUAAUAUACGGAAAAACCUCCGUAGUUUUAAAACGUAUAACAUGACAUCUCAUAUUUUGAAUAAAAUUAUAAAAAUGACGAAAUCUGUUAAAUUUAACGAAAAUGACUUAUUGGAAUCUAAAAAAAAAUUUUAUACCUAAUUUUUAACAAAUAUACCUAUUCUACCCCUUAACCCUCAAUUCUCUCUCUGUAGAAAAUAAAACAAAAUGAUUUUAUUGUGCUGUCUUUUGCUUAAUUAUAUCAGGGCAUUUUUGUUAUUUUCUCCAUUUCCGUUAAAUUUAACGAAUUCCGUCACCUUUACAAUUUAAUCAAAACACGAGGUGUUGUAUUAUACGUUUUAAAAUCGCGAAGAAUUUUUCUGUAUAUUAGAUUUAUUACGAGAGAUUUUUUUGUUUUUUACCUUAUUAUUUUUUGUAUGGGCACUCUCAAGUGAUAAUUUAAAAAUAGUUGAAAACGUACCUCGUAUAAGCCAAAUGAAUUUUUUUGUCCUUUAUUUUUAAAAUAGUAAUUUUUCGUCCCUUAAAAAAUCAAAUUGGUAAGAUUUAGUUCCAAUCUAGGUUUUUUAUUUUAUUUUUAUCUUGAAUCAAUCACCUAACCCAUACAUGAUCCCUUUUUGAUGUAAAAAGAUUAAAUCUCAAUUGUAGUUAAACAAAAUCAUACUCAAUUUUGCCCCUAAAAAAAGUAAGAUUUGACUUGAAUCAUAAUCGCUUCUCUUCUAAAAAGUGGGAUCUAAUCUACUUCAUAUUCAUUUUUACCUCUAAAAAUAGUGGAAUUUGAUUUUUUGUACAGAAAAAAUUAGUACAUAUGGAUUACGUGAUAAUUUUAAAGUAAAAAAUGGUUGAAAACUUAGAUUAAUACAAAUUUUUGUUAAAAUGAAUUUGAAAGAGAUAUAAAAUUAACAUUUUAAAAGUGAAUGACCACAAAAAAUUAUUUGACAAAAUAUAAAAAAUGUUUUGAACAAUUUUUCCUUAAAAAAUCUAAAGGGAAUUUUGAAUGCAAUGUUUGAAGGAGGCCCAAAGGGCCUGAGCCUAAAUGUGACUUUUGUUAUUUUCUUAUGCACCGUUUGGAUUGAGAAAAAGGGAAAAUGAAAGGAGACGGCUCUAGUGCAAAAGAUAGCAAAUGAAAGUAAAUAAAAACGGAUCCCAUCCAUUUUAUUUGGAUUAAAUACGAAAGAAAAAGAAAUGAAGCAUUAAAAACAUUGUUUGAAUUAGAUAAGGAAAGAAAAUCGCUACUUAUUGAUUACGAUUUUAUCCAUAGUUUGAAGAGUUUAUUGCCAAAAUAAUUACCCUUCAAAAACAUAUACCCAAAGUAAUUUAAUUUUAAAAUUUAUUACCAUUAUAUUCUUUUUUUACCAUAUAGGCUGCACAUAUGCUAGGAUAGAAAUAGAGGCACACUUUCUUUUUUUCAUCUAAUAUCUUCCAUGAUUCUCUCUCACUCUGAAUCUACCCACACUUCUUUUCCUUUCGUUAUCUUUCUCUUAUCAAACAUAAUUCUGAGAAGCCAAUAUUUAUAUUAACAAUAUCUAAAACUUCAGUAUCAUACUUAAUAUUGUUUCGGUAGAUGAAAAAAUUAUUCUAAAAUCAAUAAUCUCAAGAUAAACAUAGAUUAUUCUCGUCUUUUCUAUUGUGAAGCUUAUGGAACAUUUCUAUGGCCUCCAAAAAAUGGCCAUGAAUGGUAAAGAAAAAUGACGAGAAAGUGGUUACUUUUGAUUGGUGAAGCUUGAAGUGCAAAGUAUUGGUUCAAAUAUUUCAACUCUACUUGCAAUUGGAUCACCUAUCCAUCUUGGAAAUUUUUUAUAGUUAUACUAUGAUUGAGUGUUUUUUCAAGUCACCGUACUCUACUUAGAGAUAAAGAAGAGACGUAUACUUAUUUGUCUUCUUGGUUCUCAUAAAGUAUAACUUUUUGUUAUUUUUUUUGGUUUGUCACCUAUUUGAAUGAUUGCCAACUUAUUUGAAACUUGUUUUUAGAACCUCAUUAACUAAUUCCAUCUUGAUUUUCUUUCAUAUUCUGAAAUUAUGGUUCCUGACUAGCUAGGAAAUUGUGCAAAUCAUUAAGUAAGAGUGGCAGGGAAAAAAAAUAUAAAGGUAAAACAUCAGGAACAAUGCUGGAAAAUAUUCAAUUGGAACUAGAGAAGAAAAUUUCAGCAUGUUUACUUUUUGUAAAAGUUCUUUUCAAGGAUUAGAAAGGAUAACAUAACUAGGGAUGACAACGGGGUGGGGGACCCCCUCCCCCAUCUCCCGCCCCGCUGCUGCAUACAAACUCCCCCCGCCCCCACCCCUGCUCCCCCUGCCCCAUCCCCGCCUCGCUUCGCUUCCUCCGCGGGGCUAAUAAAAAUUUGUUAUAUAAUUUUAUUACAGUUAAAUUUUAGCAAAUAAUCAAGUACUAAAAUAUCAAUACAUCAUUAAAUUAUUAUUUAUUGUAAUUUUACAAUUGAAACAUAUAAAAGCAAUCAAACAAAAAUUAUUUAAAUACAAUCCAACAUAAUGAAAUAAAUAUAACUAAAUUAGUCAAGUUUUCACUUGUGACACAAAUACAAUCAUUAAUUCAUUAUUGUGCUUCUGCUUUUUUUAAGAAAAAAAUGUUAUUGUAUUAAGUGUAAUUAGGGAUUUAGUAUAAAUGUAUUAGUAAAUUUAGUAUAACCAAUUAAUAAUUUGUAUUAGUACACAUAUAUAAUUAUUAGUAUAAUUAAUAAUAUCAAUUAUAUUAUAUAUACUAAUAGACAUCAUAUAAUACAUAUAACUAAUAAUAUCAUUAUCAUAAAAAAUUAUAUGCAAUAGGUUUGAUUCAUUUCAAAAAAAAAAUGUAGAGACCGAUAAUUGCAAGGUCAAUAAUGGUAGAAUUUAUUUUAAAUAAUUAUAAGGAAAUUAUCAAAAUUAUGCUAUCUUCUAGUGCCUCUAUAAUAAAAAAAUUUUAAUUUUUAGUUCAUGAUAAAAACUAUAGAGUAGAUUAAAACUUUCUUUUCUUAUUAUCCUACAUGGUAAUCAGGAUAAUUAGGUGGUAACAAUAACAUCAUUAUAGGAAUAAAAUUUGAAAGUGAAUCAAAUUGGAAAUAUUUUUUUAAAAAUGUCUUAUUUUGGCAAAAAAACUCUAGUUUGAAAGUGUAAUUUGUAAGCAUGUAAGUUUUUUUUAGGAAAUCUUAAAAUUUUGUUAAUCUUUUUUUCCUUUCUUUCCAUUUCCAUUUACUUUUGGACACAAAGGAGGUUGACAAAAAAUAAUUAGAUUGUAUCACCCUCUAUCCCUCUCUAACCUUUCCUUUCCCGCGUCAAAAAACAAUCUAAACAUACAUACAUACAUAUAUGAGUAAACCUUAUAUACUCUGACAGUGUAUAUACUAUCACGAUUAGAUACAUGAUACAUAUACAAAAUUUGAAUUUCAAAUUCGAAUUCGAAUUAUAUAUCAUUCAUCUAAUGAUGAAAGGAUACACGCUGUUAGUAUAUAAAAAAUUAAUUCAAAUAUAUAUAUAUACGUAUGUACAUACACGUGUAUGUAUAUAUAUGUGUGUGCACGUACACAAGGAGAUUCAAAAUAUAAUAUAAAAUAUAUAUACAUAUACAAAUUUAUAUAUAUACAUAUAUACAAGGAGACACACACACAUAUACAUAAUAUAAAAUUUACAAGGAGAUUGAAAAUUUUUUGGUUCUGUUUUUGGUUCAGGAAAAGACUCUAAACUUUAUAGCGAGAAAGAAGAGAAUUUGAUAAUUGAACCAUAAAUAAUGAGAGGUUUGGAGAACUAAACCAAAAACUUUGUGGUCAGCUGAUUAAGGGCCAUUCUUUGUGCCAACUAAAUUGGGCCUUCGGGACUAGAGAUUGCUUCUUAUGCAAUGUUUUCAACCAAAAAAAAAAAAAAAAAAUCUUAUGCGAUUUUCAUUAAAGGCCGAAGCAAUAUUGUAACUUUUGUAUUUUACCUUAAGGCAUCCACAAUGAAUUAUAUUAAGUAAAGUGUAAUACAUAUGCCAUAACAUCUUUUAUUACAUCUCUCACUUUCACUAUAGAUUACACUCUAUUAUAAAGUAUAACAACAUGGAUUCACAAUGAAAUCACAUAUUUAUUUUAAUAAUUCACAAUACAUAUUCCAUAAAAUUUAAUGUUUUUAAAUUUGUCAAUGGAUCCACAACCAGUCUAUUAUGUAUAUAAUGGCCAUGAUAUGUAUCAUGACUAUUACACUGCCACUAUGGGAGGGUAUAAUGGUUGGAUGUAAUAAAGGCUAUUAAUUUUUUAAAAAAAAUUUUUUUGCAUUUUUUUCUUCUUUGGUUUCAAGAUGUGUUCCAAAUUCUAAUAGCGUGAUGUUUAUUUUUCUUGACAAACGAUAGCAUAAGGCUCAAAAGCAAAUGUUUGGAUGUAAUAGAUUAAACGCUUCAGAAUUCUCCCAAUUUUGUCAACUAAUCUCUUAUUUGCCAAACAAAGGAGUUAUUGUUUCCAUUUUGACAUUUGGUUUUUAGACCCCGUUUGAGGUUGCGGUGCUUGUGAUAAAAAAGUAUAUUUAGGUGCUAAAAAUACUUUUAAAGUGUUUGGUAAAUAUCAUCCCAUAAAAUUAAGAGUAAAGUUUUGGUGUUAAAAACACUUUUAGCAUUUAGCAAAAGCUCAAAUUGGUGCUUUUAGAAUAACUUUUGUGAUUUAAAAAAUAAAAUAUCAAAUUUAAUCAUUUUGUCUUAUAUUAUGAACUAAAUAAAAAGAUAAACACUUUUAAAAAUUUUUAAAUUACACAUUAUCCAAUACAAUAAUUAUUUAUUACACUAUAUCUCCAAACAAUAUAUUUAAAAGCAUUUAAGCAGUUAAUAAGUACUUUUAUUAAAAACUGUACUAAGAAAGUACUUUCCAAUAAGUUACCCUAAUUUCAAAUUGGCCCUUAUUUUAAUUUUUUUAAAAUAUUUCUUGAUGUGAAUCGUUAUAUUCUUUAUUUAAAAAAUGAAAGUAAUUGUUAUACUACAAGAGCUCGAUCUAGGCUCAACAUGUUGUUUGACCUUACUUGGACUAAGGUCAAAUAAGCUAAAGUUAUAUCUAAUCACGUUUGAGCUAUACAAUACUCUGUCUCGAUUCAGCUUGGUGAUACCUCUACACUUCAUAUUAAUGAGCAAAUCAUUAAAUGUUUACGUUAACAAAAUUUUGAAGAAUAUUGAUGACUAGUUCAGUGAUGAUGGUAUUUUCUUAGACUUGAAAUCUAUUAACGAAGUUUAAUUAUUUUGUUGUUCAAUAAAAUAAAUAAAAUCCCUAAGCUUACUUUAGUUCAAACUUAUCCGGAAGAUGGCAGCUAAAUACCCUUAGCCCCCUCCAAUAAUCAGGGUAUCGUUUUGUCUCAAUGUUAAUUAAUGGCAUUUUCCUUGUUCGGGUAACAUCGAGUGUUAACUCAAACUUGUUACUGUGAGACCCUUAUACAGGCCAUAGAGCAAGGUUUGUUAUUUAAUGAUCUUUUCCAAAAGAGCAAGAAAGAAAGAAAGGGAGUAAGGUGAGGGUGUGGGAGGGGGGAGGGGGUGGAUGGGGCUCUCUUCCCAAAUCUAUUGGAUGUGGGUUCUUCAACCUGAGUUUAAGGUCCAUAUGGUUCUCGUUCAGUUACCAAUUGAUUGGAUAUGGGUUUCUUGUAGUCCCCUUAGAUUACUGUUAAUUGGGUCCUCUAACCGUUAAUCUUCUGAGUGUUUCUAAUCUAAUUGGAUGUGUGUGUUUCUAUUUCUCGACAGAAAAAAAAAAAAAAAAAGGGAGUAAGAUCUCAAAAGUUUGUGAGAAUGAAUACAUUAAUUCAACAAUCAACCCCCACCUAACUCUUCUAUCCUUGAAUAAAAGUUUAAAGAUAUCAUUAAGGUUGUUAGGCUUUUUAUGAAUGCAUUAAGAUCUCUCCCUCUUUUCUUUAGGCUUCUCUAUGCAUUUAAUUACAACGUUCUAAAAGUCUAGGAUUAUCCAUCCUGAUUUUGGUUUAUUUAUUUUCCAUUUUUUUACCUAUAUAAAUAUUGCAAAUAACUGAACCAUGAAUUCAGUUAAGAAGACUAAAGGGGCGGAAGGGAAACAACCGAUUAUUGAGUAUAAUCAAAGAAUCAUCUCACAAACCUAAACCUCACCUCACGAGGUUUUUAACAAUUUCACUAACCACCGUUGAGAGUUUAGAAAUUACAUCCACUUCUAAUGUCUAUUAAUUAAAAAUAAUAAUAUUCGCCUUUAAAAUAACGCUGUAAUGAAACUCUUUCUUUGAUGUCUAUUAUUCUUUCCUUUUCUUUUUCUAUUCUUAUUCUUUCCUUUUAUAUUUUGCAAGUACAACUAUGAAACUAUCAACACUGUCCUAAGCCUUCAUCAUAACCAAAUGUCGAACUAGUCAUCUUUUUUGACAAGAUAACAUUGGAUGUGAUCUUUUUUUUUUUUUUUGCUAUUUUUGUUUUGAUAAAAAAAUAAUAACUCCAAUUGCAAUAGUUCAAAAUCACUAUCAAACUAUGGUAAUUCUACCACUACAAAGAUCCAUAAACUCUAAAAAUUUUAUCGUAACACUUUCUUAUUGUAGUAGAUAUCUAUAUUCUCAAUAAAGCAACUUCAAAAUGUUUCCUAUCUUAGUAAUAGGAUUAGCAUCAUAGUUUCUUAUCAAAUGAUAUAAGUACGAAAAAUUUGACACAUGUUCUUUAUAAUUGUGCAAAAUUAUUUUACAAUUGUUUAGAAAAGAAAAUUCAGCUUUUAUUAUAUGAAUAUCUUUCUCUUUUUAUUAAAAUUUUAAUAUAUGAAUCUAUUUUAGGGUAUUCAUUUAAAUUUUUUUGACCAAGUUGAGGAGAUUUUGAGGUUCAGUUCUUAAACCUAUCAAAUCAGGAAAAGUAGGUAUAAUCUUUGAAACCUUGAAGAAACUCAAUGAAAAUGUUAGAAAGCUCAAGAGAGGUUUCUUAAAUUAUCCCUAUAAUCAAAAUUUACACAAAAAUUGACAAAAAGUGUGCAUAUAACUUUUUUGUAUUUAUUGAUGUAAAAUAUCUAUAAAUAUUAUUACUUAAAAAAGUUAUCAUUACAUACUAAUAAAGCUUGAAUUUGGGCUUCCUGUAUUGUCGAACUUACUUGAGUCAAGAUCCGCCAGGCUAGUUAUGCUGAUUAGAGUUCAAGCAUUGCAUUAUGCAUUAUGCAUUAUGCAAUGUCAAUCUUCGAAGAAGAAAAGCGAUACUGAAAGUAGGGGUGCAGAGAAUUCGAGUAGCUUGAAUCGAGCUCGCGAGUAGCUUGGUUAGCUACUCGAAUCGAGCUCGAGCAAAUUCGAGCUCGAGGCGAUUUCGAGCUACUUGCUACAGUAAACGAGUCGAGUUCGAGUAAUUAAUGGCAAGAAAUUUUAACUCGUCGAGUAGCUCGAGCUUGGUGGCCUAUUUGUAUAUUUUAUAUAUCAAUUUACUCUUUUAGGUUUGUUAGUUAGAAUAUUUACGGGCUUAACCAGUUAUGUUGUAAUAAUAAUGAAGGGUGAAUAAGUAAUUUUGGCUCGUAAACUAAAAGCGAUGAAAUGCAUUGCAAACUCUGUCCUUCAUUUGCCUUCUUCGUUCCUCUUCAGUCUUCAGAGUUCAGCUUACCUCUCAAAUCCCAAUCUCAGUCUUUGGCUCAUCUUCUCAAAUCUCAAUUGUCACUCAAAAAAAUUGGGGGCUGCUGCUGCUGCAAUACUUGUAAUGGUUUCUGAGCUCUUGAGUCUUGACUUAGAGGAAGCUCUUGAGUCUUGCGCGCUGCUGGCGCACGCCGUGGAGGAGAGGGCGUCGCGCGUUGGCAGAUGACUGCGCGCCGUGCGCAGCUGCUGCUGGACUGCUGCGGCUGAGUUGCUGCUCGAUCUGCCUGGAGGUGAACUGGAGCGCAAGGGGCAGGCUGCUCGCAAGGGGGCGACUGCGGUUGAGUCGCGCAGGGGUUGCGUGAGAAGGAGCUGCUGGUGGCGAGGCGCGGCUGGGCAACAGGCGCGAUGGGCGGCAGUGUGGCGUGCGGCGAUCUGGCGGGGUGCAAAGUGGCGGCGGCGGACAAAGAGAAAAGAAGGAAGAAGAAGGAGAAAAAGAAAGAAAAGGAAGAAGAAAGAAAAGAAAGAAGAAGAAAAAGAGAGAAAGAGGGGAAGUAGGGCUGAUGUUGUUGUUGUUGCUGUUGUUGCUUCGAUCGGAUGCAUGUCAAGUUCGAGUACUCGACUCGAGCUCGAGCUCGAUAUGCAUUCAAGCUUGAUUGAGUCGAGUACGAUCUUACUCGUGCUUGUCUCGAGUCAAUCCCGAUCUUCAUUGCUCGAGCUCGAUUCGGCUCGAUUUCACCCCUAACUGAAAGAGAGAGAGAGAUGUACAUGUGCAAAAUGAUUGUUUUAGUUCUCACAGCAAAUGAAAUAUCAAGUAUUUUUAAAGGAUUUUCAGAUGUUAGUUUUUUUUUAAAAGCAUAAUUAAUUAGGAAAAGAUGUUAGUCUUUUGAAAAAAAUAUAAUUAAUUAGAAAAAGUGUCAGAAUUCAGGGGUGCAAUAACUUAGAUGUAAUUUAAAGAGACGCCUUUUAGAAAUAUCACUUGUUUUAUUAAGAGGCCUACUAGCUGUUUUUGUACAAUAUGUGAUUAAAUUUAACUAAAUUUGUCAAGAAGGAUUUACUUUAAUGGUUAAAAUGGAAACCCCAAAAAUUAGAAAUCUUGGAUUCGAAUAUUUGUUUUACAUGUCAUUGUUUGAGCUCAAGCUUCAAACUCAAGCGGAUAUUUGACCCAGAAGCUUGCAAGUCUCAGUUCAUUUAUACCUGUAGCACGGUGAUAUGCUCGAAUUGGUGAUUUAACGUGUACCAAUUUUUGAUGUAGGUAAAUUGAAAACUCAAUAAAAUAUAACAACAAAAUUAGGAUGAAUAAAGUUGGUCAACAUAUACUCCCGCGGUCCAUAAAGAUUGGCUGACUUUACUUUUGUGUAUGUCCCAAAUUAUACGCUUAUUUCCUUUUUUAAAGAAUAGUUAAUUUGUUAUUUUACUAAUAUACUCAUAUUUAAUGUACAUAGUUAUUACAAAUUUUUUUAAUAAACAUUAGUUGCCUUCUAUAUUGUUUGGCAAUUUUAUUUUUGUUAUUUAUUUUAGUCAAACAUGUAACAUUAAUUUGAUUGACUCUUGUAUUGAAAAACUAAAGUACCUUAAGUUCCUAGAAUAAUAUAGUAAUAUGAACCUGUUACUUUGAAUGAAUGAUCUAAUAUUAACAAGGGGUAUUUGAGGAAAGCAUGAACACAAAAAUAAUUAUUGUAACUAUGUUAGCUAAAUUUUUUAAUUUAUGUAAAAAAAAGAAAUAGGUCUAUCUUUACAGGACGGAGACAGUAAUUAAUGCAUAUAAAGUAAUCCCAACAAACUUUACGAGUUAUCUCAAACUCCUAUCCUAGGAUAGGAUGGAUGGAUGUAGUUGGUGGUUGAAUUGAUUUAUUUUGCUAAUGUCUCAUUUCCAUUUCAUCUUCAAGAAGACAUCAUUAAAAAGAACACGCCACUCUAUGUGGCCUGUAUAAAGGAUCCACAAGACAGAGUUUCAAGUACCCAACACUUGCAUUUGCACCCAUCAGUCUUGCAACAUGUCAAAAGUUCUUCUCCUCUGCUGCAUUCUUUCGCUCCUCUUUGUCAUGAAUCUUGGUACUUUUUCCUUUUCACUCUCUUCUCUCAAUCCUUGUUGUUAUGAAAAAGAAUAAUAGACAAAUGUACGCUGGAUUGGCAGAUAUGGCCAUCUUAAUUAGACUUGCUACACAUUGCCUCCCUGACAGAGAAAACUAGACCAGUUUUAAGUUACAUAUAUAAAACUGAAAUUUUCGCAUCGAAAAAACGAAAUCAAUGCAUAUGAUUAAAAAGAAAAGCAAAGAGGGUUGUUGGAUUAUGAGUUUUUUGUGAACUUAGAAUUUUUCUCACAUGUACAGCUGAAGAAGUCCCAAAUGCAGGAGGGUUGGAGGAUUCCAAAGUUACGGUAAAGCACCUUGGACUCAGAUUAAGCGUAGCGCAAUGUGUUAGAGAUUGCCACGCGAGGUGGCCAAACUCCACAGCGAGAUGUCCCAUUUUUCAUGGCCAUAUAUGCGCCUGCCUAUGCUAUGUCCCUUGACUCCCUUCUCUCUAAUUAUUAUUGUCAAUGAUAAUUUCCGUAAGCGAGAAGGCCUAUAUAAUAUGUAUGUGACUUCUCGGUUUUUAUACAGAAACUAUUACAUGCUAUGAAAACUUCUAUAUUCCAACAAACUUUACGAGCAAUAAUCUAUAUUCUUCGCUCCAAAAGUCAAAGAUUAAUCAUCCAACUGGACCAUCAUUAAUCCUAAAGGCAUGAAGAACAAUGACAAAUUUUAAAAGUUCUGAGAUCUAAUGGAAAUUUAGUAUUAGCUAUUCAAAAUUUGCUACGUGAUCAAAAAGAACGAUGGAAACGAGUUUGUUGGACCAUUAAUUUCCAAAUUGCUUGAAAUUUUUUAAACCCACAUAAUUUUAAACACUACAGAUGAUGAUUCAAGGCACAAAUAAGUUGAAAGGAAAAGGCAAAGUGGGUGUGAAUCUUGGACGUUAUAUAUGAAUCUUAGGUACAAGGAAAUGUAAUCCGGCACUACAAAACCAAUUUUGCAUCCUGCCAACUAAACAAAUAAUUAAAAUUAUAAAAGCGCAAAGUUUAAAACGUGUAUAUAUAGCAACUUUAUACAGACCUGAUUCUGCUAUGAAAUUUCUUAUAAUUGGUGAAUGAAUUGAAUAGUCAACAAAAUAAAGACACAGAAAUUUAAACAAAUUCGAGGUCAAAUAUAUCAUGCCUGAAGGUGUGAAUAAAAGGCUCAUUCUUCUACCCAAUAUCUACCUUAGUUGGUAGGAAUACUAGUACGUGAUCAUAAAAUUCUUCAUUCAACUUUUAAACUCAUUUUUUAGAAAAGGUUUGGAAUCUCCUCUUAAACUAAAAAACAAAGAAAAAAAAUGCUUAUCGUUUAGAUAUUGGAGGAAAAUUCACCGCAUUCAUAUUUGAAUUGUUGAGGCUUAAAUUAUUGAGUUUUAGUCUUUUCUUUGGGUUUCAAAAUUGUUAAGACAAUUAAUUGUCCUAUGGUACAAUAAUCAUGCCGUCCCAUCAACAACAAUUGCGUACCUCUCAAAAACACGAGAAAACAAAUCAUGCUUUAUCUUUUCCCAAGCCAAUCCGUUGUUCGAGGCAUUAUCGUCUCAAACAACUAAUUACUUGAUGGAUUUCUCUUUACGCCCAAAAAAAAAAAAAAAAAUCAAUCAAGAAAAAAGGGCUGAAGUUUUUUAUUCACAUUCAAUUAGGAAUCUGUUCACCACAUCUCAAGGCUGUCAAGUCCAUGAGUUCAUAUAGGACGUUAGAUAAUUUGGGUCAUUAGUAUUUACCUUCUAUGGGGAACUAUACAGCGUUUGCGGCCUCUCCGACUGCCGGAUAGAUCAAAUUAGCAGCGCACUUUUAUCGAUUUCAUCCCUUAUCCGACUUUCUCCUAAGGGCCAUAUAAAUGACAGCAGAAAUAGAAAAAUAACUAACUAGAAUUUGCCAAAGCGAAGCCAAAGUGCUCCAGUAUUGCAAGUAUAUAGUAGUACUAGUACUUUGUGAUUUUCAUGAUUGGUGGUUUUUGUAAUUUUGUAUGGCCUGACAACUUGACAAUUUUUUGCCUUGGCUUAUGGAUAGUGGAAAGAGCAAAUGGAAGAACUAUUCAACGAUCAAGAAAUUAGUGGUUUCUUUAUCUUUUGAAAGCAUUCCUCCAAAAUCUUCAAGAAUGGAGGGUGCUACAACCAUUUUUUCGUCGAAGAGUAAAUCAUGGCAUUGUGCUGGAUCAGCUGAAAAAUCCCAGCAAAAUCAUGCUGAGUACAAAACAAGGUAUAAGAUUGCCCCUAAAGGUUGUUUUUCAGUGUAUAUUCAAAUGGUAUAUGUUGGCCCUGCGAAACAAAGAUUUGUUAUCCACUGUUGAAGAUGCUGAAUUGGGAUAUGCAUAGAGCAAUGAAGGCCCUCUUUUGCUUCCAUGUGAUAUUGAUCUUUUUUGACAAGGUUUUGGCUGAGAUGGAUAGCGGGAAAGAGGCCAUGGUUGAUGAUUCUGAUUCAUCAGCUGGUGGUGGAUUUGCGUAUGGCUCCUGCAGUCCUUUUAGUCCGGCACGGGGUCUCCGAAAUGGCACCAUGUCUAAAUGUUAUAGUCCAUACGAACUUCUCACUCCACCCAGAUUGCUGAACAUCAAUUAGUACUUCUCAUUGCCUUUUCUAAGUUAUUCUGCCGUGUAGGUGUAGGAAUAAUGUCUUAUUUUAGGCUUUCUCAAUAAGUAUGGGAUGUGACAAAAUGAAACAUGAAGGGUUGAAUGCCGUGAAAAUUUAUUACUCAAGUGUUGAUUAACACCUUAUCUGCGUGCAUGUGUCCAAACUAGGGCUAUUUUGAAGUGUUUUCGAGGAAGAUAUGUUCUCAGGAAAAUAGACAUCCAGUAUCUCUCUUCUUGUCUGAAAUUUUUAACUGGAUUAUGAAUUGAGAUAAUUGUCAAAAAAGCUUCAUUUAGUCAUAUAAAGUUUGACUAAUAUCGCCAAAUUCAUAAUCUCACUCAAACUUUUGGGAUUUUGGUUUUCACAAAGAAAACCAGAAAAGAUUUUUCUCUUUUUAAUUAGAUACUUUGCUCCUCACUUUGUCAUCAGAAGUGCAUAAUACAUGUAUAAGUCGACUUAGUGAUUCUGCCUUGAAUGAUUGGAACUCCCAAAUAACGCCCAAUAUUUUAUUCAUCAAGGGAAAUUGAGUGCAUCGACUAAACUUUCUGGCAGUGGAUCUACUAAUAUUAGGGUGAGGCAUACAACUUAGAAUUUUCCAAAUUAAUUUUCUGGGCUGAUGUACCAUAGAAAAUCUCCAUAUAUGUUUGCCCUUUCCCUGGUUCCCACAUCGUUCGUGUUAGGUGUGUGUGAGUGGUACUUAAGGUGCUCAAGUAUACUCAGAAGUCAGCAAUUACCUUUUGGGUAUCCUUGUGGAGUUACCUUAGGUAACCGUUUGUGUAUUUUUGACAAAAAUGGUAGAAAAAAACCACCAGAGAGGAGAGAUGUGAGUGGUACUUAAGGUCCUCAAGGUCCUCAAGUAUAUAUCCUUGUGGAGUUAUCGUUUGUGUAUUUUUGACAAAAAUGGUAGAAAAAAACCACCAGAGAGGAGAGAUGUGAGUGGUACUUAAGGUCCUCAAGUAUACUCAGAAGUCAGUAAUUGCCUUUUGGAUAUCCUUGUGGAGUUAUCUUAGGUAACCGUUUGUGUAUUUCUGACAAAAAUGGUAGAAAAAAAGAGAUACAGUAUGUCUCAUAAUCUUUGUUUACGAGAUUGACGGUUCACCAAACAAGAUUAAAUCACCUUCAAGUAAUAUUGACUGACUUCCAAGAUUACUUGUUGAAUAGAGUCCCAAGAUUAAGUUGAUGAUGGAUUUUGGAAUAAAAUAGCCAAAUGCCACUCUUUGAAGCCUUCCAAGAUAGCUAAAUGCCACUAGAAAAACAAGCCGGCUCUUGUACUUCCACGGUUGGAAAAGUUGCAACAUCCUUGCAUUUCAAUUUGAUGAGCUAUAAAGCCUUUAGAUUUAGGUUAAUCAAGAAUCAAACUAGAAGGCUUAUACAUGAGAAUUAGGUAUGUCAAUUGAUAGGAUCUUUUCCAGAUGCAACCCAGAUCUAAUGUACUUGGAUAGAGUUUGAAUUUAAUUUCUUAAAUACAGAUCCUAUCUAAACCCAGACUGUAAAAAAGUUAUGGAUCUGGGUAAAGUCUGAUUUUGUGUGAUUCAUAUCCAAAUCCAAAUACAUACCAGGCCCAAUCUAAACCCAUGUAUAUAUAAUUAAAUUAUGUAUAUAUAUAUUAGUAAAUUUAUAAAAUAUUCUAAUAUUUUAUGGCCAUUGGAUCGAAUACAAUAAGAUUUCAUGAUUAUUUUCUUUUUUUCAAACAAAUCCUAGUUAUCAUUGUAAUUAGUACAAACUUUUUUAUAAAAAGGAGUCAAAGUAAAGGCAAAUAAAUGAAAGAUUGGACUUAGAUAUAAUUGAAAUUUAAAAAAUAAACCGAAGUAGUUAAUAAUAAUUAUUUUUUGAGUACAUAAUAUUGCAUCCAACUUCUUGAAUAUUAAUUUUAUUAUUUAAAAAUAAAAAUUGGAUGGUGUUUAUAUUUUUUAAAAUCUAUAUAUUUUUACUUUAGUAUAUUUAGGAAAAUAUAGCGAAUACCCAUUGGGUAUCCAAAUCCAUAAGAGUCUAGAUUUGGACUUAUUUUUUCAGACCCAUAAGGGUUUGGAUCUAGAUCUAAGUUUAACUAAAUUUAAUGGGUCUGAAUCUAGAUCAAAGGGAUGUAAUCUGAGCCCUACCCAUUGAUAUACCUAAUGAGUUUAAUGGACUUAUUUUUUCAAACCCAUAAGGAUCUGGAUUUGGAUCAAAUUUAACUAAAUUUAAUGGAUUUAGAUAUAGAUCAAAGGAAUACAAUCCAGAUUCUACCCAUUGACAUGACUAAUGAGAAUAAUAUAUCUUAGUAUAAAUUUCGUUAGACACGAUACAAAACAUUACAGAUAGUUGAGCAGGCUAAUUAUACCUCCAGUAAAUUUUUUCUAUUCCAUUUUUUUUUUGGAUAAUGUUAUUUACACCCCAUUAUGUUAUCUGCACUUCCGCUAUCCCAUUUUCAUCUUGACGAGACUAUAUUACUACUAUUUUAAUUUCUUUUCCUACCAUAUCUUGUGUUCACAUGUAAGGAAGUUCAGUACAAUUGUUGUACGUGUCCAAAAGGUAAAAAAAAAAAAAAAUUAACUUUUGCUUCUUUUUUUUCUACAUCUACAUAACUAUUUGUUUAAUUUUAUUUCAUAUUUUUAUUUUAAUUUCAAUUUUACAGAUUUUUUAUGAGCACAAUUGAGGUUUCAUUGCAUCAUCUAGUGACUAGAUGCUAUUAUGCUUUUGUUGGAAUAUACUAGAAAUGUUCAUUCCUUCUAUGGUGGUUAUAUGAGCUAUUCUUAGUAGGUUUUUCGAAGUAUUAAUAUCCUAUUUAUGAGACAUUAUAGUUACAUUCAAGUUUUGCUCAUCUUUGAUUAGGGGUGACAAUUCUUGACACGACUCGAAAAUAUGAUUCGAACCUAAUACUCAUCAUGAAUUCGGGUCAAAUUCAAAUCAAAUCCGAAUGACCCGCUAAGUAAAUAGGUCCAAUUCAGGUCAACUCACUGGUUGACCUAUUUGACCUGUUUAAUAUAUAAUUUUAUAAUCUAAUUAAUAAAUUAGAGGCAUAAAGUAAAUAAAAAAACUAACUAAGGCUAUAAAUUAGUAUUAUAAGAAUGGAAUCAUGAAUAUUAUGUGAAAAUAAGGUAUUUUAUUUGUGAAAGUGUCAUAAUUUUGUUUUUGUUCAUAUUUUUUUUGUAGAAAAAGAAAAAUAAAAAAUUACAACGAGAUUGGGUUGUAAUUUUAUAUAUUCUUAUGGAAACUCCAUUAUAAAAAAAAAUCCACCAUACUACCAAAUUGAGAAGGUUAAAAAAAAUAUUAAACAAAUAGGUUAUGCAAGUCAACUUCGGAUAACCCACAAACUAACGAGUCAUGUGGUCAAAAAAGUUGACCCAUUUAAAUUUUCGGGUCGGAUUUGGGUGGACGUCUUGGUAAGAAUACCUCAGUCUCAAUCCGACCCGUCAACCCACGAUCCGACCCGAUUGCCACCCCUAUCUUUGAUGCUUGAGAUUUUAUUUAUUUAUUUAUUUAUUUAUUUUGGGCUUGAAGUUUAGAAUCUAUUCAUAUUACAUUGUUAGAUUGAUCUUUGGCAUCUUAUAAUUUCGUGAAAUUUUGUAGAAAAAUACAUAAUACAUAUAAGUGACAAUUUUAAAUUAGUCAUUUUAAUGUGUAAUGGAAUAAUUAAUUUGUUUUAGAAUGUAAGAGAAAAUCUAGAAAAGUUAACUCAUAGGCAAGAAGAUGAAAUUAGAGAGGGGGUAAUGUGGUCUCGUUAAAAUAAAAAUGAGAUGGUAAGCGUGCAAAUAACAUUACCCUUUUUAAAUUUUUUUUGGCAUAGAUUAGUACCUAUGAUUAACAAAAUCUUCGUUUCAAUCCGGCCCAACUCCUCAUGUCUUGUUGGCUCGGUGGAUUGGGUCUGACCUAAUCAGGAAUCUUUCAACUGAUGCCAAUCCUAAUAACUCAUAAACUUUGUGAUUAAACUCUAAUAACUUUCAAGUUUCACAUAGCAUUAAUUGUUUGAGCUCAAGCUUUAAAGUUUAAAAUUCAAUCAUCACCGGGGUCAAGCUGAUCUCUAACGAAGAAGCUUGCAAGUUCUCAGUUCAUUUACAAUUACACCCCUAGUACAUUUGGUUGACCCAUAAUUAAUGCAUAUUGUGAAAAGCCUAACAAACUGUAUGAGUUAUCCCAAAUUUUAACAGAGAACAGAUUAAUGCAAUAAGUGUCCAAUUAAUGAAUUCUAAGAGACGCCUAAAGAUCUCAUUUCCAUUUUUUGUUUUGUGGAAAAGAUCAUUAAAUGAAACACACCACCACUACUUGGCCUGUAUAAAGGAUAUACAAGAACAAGUUUGAGCAGCCAACACUCGUAUUUGCACCCAUCUUUCCUCCAAAAUGUCAAAAAUUCUCAUCUUCUGUUGCAUUCUCUCCCUUCUCUUUGUCAUCAAUUUGGGUACUUUUUCUUUUCACUCUACCCUCUCAAUCCUUGUUAUGAUAAGAAAAAUAUGCACCAUAGUGAAAAAGAACGAAUAGUUGUUAUUCUGUGAAUUAGCAUAUAUUUAGCCAUACUAACCUAAAAUCUUUCUCACACUUUUUGCAGCCGAAGUGCCAAAUGCAGGAGGUUUUGGGGAUUCGAAAACUAGAAGAGUGAUUCUGGGAAAGAGAUCAAAUAAAGUAGUCUGUAUUAGAGAUUGCAGCAGACUGUAUCCAAACUCCACAGCCAAUUGUUUCAAGAUACGCUUUGGAAAAUGCCUCUGCUAUUGCUAUGUACCGGACAGCCCUUCUUCUCCUCACUAAUUUAUCCAUGUUAAUGUGUCUGAAUGAGGGCCUAUAUGUAACAUCACAGCUUUAAUAUAUAUCAGCAAUUCAAGGUUUAUUGGAUUAUAUUAUUGAAACAUUUUUAUCAGCAAUUCAAGAAAGCUUUAUGUGAACAACAUAAAACAUCUCUUUUCCAUUUAAUAAAUUUUUUGUUUAAAAAAAAAGUAGCAAAGCAGCGAAGAUAUAUAGUACAAAUACCAGCAAUUUUGAAGAAAUCUUGUUUAUUAUAAGAAUAAAUGCAAACUAAUUAUCUCACAAAUCGAAUGAAGAUUGUUACGAACAGAACCAAGAAAUUAUAGUCUAUUGAUCAGCUGUAAUUAUAACGUAAAAUAAAUAAGUAGCAAAAGACGAAUAAUAUUGUGAAUUAUUCACCCAUAACCUUUGUGAGAAAAUCUUACAUUUGGAAAAAAAAAUUUAACAUGCAGUCCAACUAACUAUCUAACACAAAUUCAAUAAAGAAAAUGAUGUUAUAGACAGAACACAAACAUUACAUCCUAGUGUUAAUUAAGCAGACUCAUAUCACUAUUUCUUGUUCACAACUUUUAAUGCGUUCCUCUUUUACAACUCUCAGUUAAUGCAAGUAUUUAGUGCCAGUAACUAACCUGCAGCUGAAAAUAAAUAACCAGUUAGCAUUUUCUUUUUAAUGCGUUUCAACUAAUUCUCAGAGUUUUGGUGACAAUUAAUGCUUCCAGCUGCAGGUUUACCCUGUAUGAUAUGCAAGGCAAAAGCCCUUGUCAAAGGUCAAAGGCACCAAUGCUGAUGAUUGAACAUCGUGGACAUGGGUACCUAAGAGUGCAAUAAAACCUGAACCAGGUGCCAUAAAAUUAGCCUUGUUAUCUGAAGGCAUUGUAUUGCUUCUAAUGCACGCAUAUUUAUUGCUUGUAUUGACCAUUAGUUGAUCGGAAUUAAGGUCAAUCGUCUGGAUACAGGAGGACCAUUCACCACAUUCACGAUUCAUGUUUUAAACGGUUGACAGCCUUACAUGAUUUGGCUAUAUAUAACCUUUUUUGGCUUUCAAAAUAGACAAAAAGUGCUAAGCUCUUCUUCAUUAAUUAUUCAGGAUGAUUAUCAGUCCCAUCAACAACAAUGUGUACCUUUUAAAGAGUACAAGAAAAACAAAUCACGCAACUUAAUUAUUUAGACUAAUCUUUUCCCAAGUCAAUUGGUGGUUCGAGAUUAUUGUCUCAAACAACUAAUUUCUUGAUGGAUUUCUCUCUUGCACAACAAGAAUAAUAGAGUCAAGAAAAAGGGCUCAAUUUUUUUUAUGGACAAAUUACACUUUACCCCCUGUUAUUUAGUGUUUAUUUACAUAACCUCCCCAUAGUUUCAAAAAUUAUACAUAUCUCCCUCAUAAUUUGGACUAAAAUGUCAAAGUAACGGAAUUUGCAAUCCAUAAUGGAGUCGACUAAAAUGUCAAAAAUACCCCUAUAUAAAGUUAAAAAUUAUUUAUUAACCACAUGGGGGUUAUAUAUAUAUAUAUAUCAUUAUAUUGAAAACCAUAAGGGAGUUAUAUGGUAAAGCACUAAACCAUAAGGGGGUUAUAUAGUAAAAUAUAAAACCAUAUGGGUUAGAGUGCCAUGCAUAUUAUAUUUAUAUAUUUUGGUCACUCCAACCGCAUUAAUUUUUAAAUAAGAGUAAUAUUGACAUUUUCAUAGGUUCCAUUAUGAAUAAUCAUUUCUAUCAAUUUGACACUUUAAUUCAAACCAUAAGGGAUUAUAUAUAGCUUUUAAAACUAUCGGGGGAUUAUGUUCAAACAGAUGGGUAAAGUGUAAUUUGCCCCUUUUUUAUUCACAUUCGAUUAGAUAUCUGCCCGCUACAUCAAGGCUGUCCUAGGUCCAUGAGUUGGUUGACAUUGGACGUUGUAUAGUUUGGUUCACUAGUAUUUAUAUUUGGUGCGGAAACCAUACCACGUAGUUGCCUAUUCUAUUUACAAAUUGCCCCAGUUAGCAACUUAACAACUGCACCUCAUCAAUUUCAUCCCUUAUGACAGUCAAGGUAGAGAAAUUAUAUACAAGAAUUUGUUGAAGCAAAGCCAAAGAACUCGAGUAUUGUAAGUAUGACGAUAUAAUAGUACUAGCAUUUUGUUAUUUUCGUGAUUUGUAUCUAUUGCUUUUGCCUGUAGCUGUUGGACGGACAAAUAAUGGACACUGGAAAGAGCAAAUGGAAGAACAAUUCAAUGAUCAAGAAAUUGGUGGUUUCUUUAUCACUUCAAAGCAUUCGGGCAAUACCUUCAAGAAUGGAGGGUGCUACUAUCAUUUCUUUGUCGAAGAGUAAAUCAUGGCAUUGUACUGGGGCAGCUGAAAAAUCUCAACAAAAUCAUGAUGAGUACAGAACAAGGUAUAAAGUUGCUCCUAAAGGUUGUUUUUCAGUGUAUGUUGGUCCUGAGAAACAAAGGUUUGUGAUCAAGGCAGAAUGUGCUAAUCAUCCAUUGUUCAAGAUGCUGCUUGAAGAUGCUGAAUUGGAGUAUGGGUAUAGCAAUGAAGGCCCUCUUUUGCUUCCAUGUGAUGUUGAUCUUUUUUACAAAGUCUUAGCUGAGAUGGAUUGUGGCAAGGAGGCCAUGGUUGAUGAUUCUGAUUCAUCAGCUGGUGGUGGAUUUCCAUGUGGCUCCUGCAGUCCUUUCGCUCCGGCACGGCGUCUUCCAGACGGCACCAUCUCUAGAGUUUAUAGUCCAUAUGGACUUCUCAGUUCUCACUCCACCCCGAUUGCUGAAGAUGAAUCACUUCUGAAUCGAACAAAUGUAUAGAUUCUAAUUAUUGCUUUGUCUAAGAGUUUUUUGACCAGUUAGAAAAGCAGAUUUGAUUAAAUAUGGUAUCAAGAAUUAUCAUAGACCUCAUGUAUUCUUUGAAUACCAGAUGAUAUAAUUUUGCUAAAUCAUGUCAUGAACAGCCCUAUAAUCUACCUUGACCGAUUGUAUCCAGUUACUAACCUUUGAUAUAGUAGCCCAGCAUUACUUAAUUCCUAGUACGGAAUAAAAAUACUUAGUUUCAACUCAAGUUUUUUUUAAAACAUUUUGACCAAUCCUUCAAAAAAAAAAAAAACAUUUUGACCAAUCGGCCGUUGAUAAAUGUUUUCAGGUGACUUAAAUGGAUAUGAUCUCUCAUGCUAGGAAUCACUUUCAUAUCAGUUAAUGUAAGAGGAAGGAAAUUCGUGCUGCUUUUGCCAAAAGCAUCCUGUCUAGCCAUUAUAUAACAUGGCCUUUUAAGUGCUGUAAGUAUGGACGAAAGGGAAACAUAGCAAGUCCAGCGAGAUCUGAGAAGUGAGGAAAUAUAAGUAGCCUAUAUAUUGUCUCGCAAAUGACUAAAGGAUUCCAUACCUGACAAAAUUACUAAUAGCUAGUUUGGGAGGAAGGAAAUGGAUAGAAAAGAAAGGGUUUGAAAGGAUAAUAAAUUCUUUCCAUCGUUUGAGAGCCAAAAAGAGAAGGAAAAGAAAGGAUUUGGACUUCCUUCACUUCUCUCUGUGUAUUGGAAAACUUUCCGCCCAAAGUUGGGCGGAAAAGGAAGGAAGGGACUGUGCUUUAAAUGAAAUUUUCAAUAUGACAAUAUUACCCUCAAAAUCAUGAUACAAAAAUUUUUAAUUCCGGAUGAGUCUCUCAGCUUACUUGAUUCACAUUUAUUUUCAAAAAGGGCAAUUUUGUAAAAUAACCUAUUUGAGCAUCUUUUCUUUUCAUCUGUUUUCAACUCCCAAACAAAAGAAAACCACUUACCUUCUUUUCUUUUUUAAAACUCCCAAACAACUUAGAUAGAAACUUAAAUCCUUUCCCACCCUUUCUUUUCUUUUCUAACUAACCCUUUCUCUUCUUUUCUUUUCUAUUCUAAACUCCCAAACUAGCUAUAAGCCAUUUCACUCCUGUGUAAAAUGGCAAGGACUUGUCUCAAAACCCAAUUUAGCUAGUAGAUCAUGAUGUCUGUGGUUCGAUUGUCCGGGCUUCCUUUCUCACUUCGCUUUUGUAAAGUUUGGAGUCUCUUGCUGAUUAAAAAAAAAAAAAAAAAAGGAAAGAAAAAUGACAAGAACUUCCCAUGCAAUCUAUUAUUGGGGGUAACUUCGCUUUGCUAACUCACAUACAUGUUCUACACGUCUCAAAAAUGGGAUAAUUUAGCAAUUGCAUAUGAAACAAAUUAGUCUAAAUUUCGAUAGGAUGUUCCAAUUAUUACAGACAUAGAACAGAAAAAGGGUAAUUUGUAGUCAAAGAUUGCACAUUACAAGCUCAAGCCGCAGCAGCAAUGUAAUGGGGACUUUUUAAGAAAUCGGAAUUAAGGAUGCAAAGUGUGACAAGUGCUAAAAUUUGAGAGUAUAUAUGCAUGAAAUUAAUGCACCUCCAAGUAAACCGAUUUAAUUAAAUGCUUAUAAUCCUUUCAAAUGACAACUGAAGUGGUUAAACUGGCAUCAAUAAAAACAAUUUUAGCAUUUUAUUUACUCUUUUUAGAAAAUAAUGAGCUAUACAAACUUCAUUAUCUGCCCUUUUCUUUCUCAUGUGUACUAAUAAUGUACAUUCCUAGAAGAAGAUUCGAAAGUCCAGUAAAACGCAUAAGGACUAAUGUGUGGAGACUAAAUUGCGAUUCAAAUUGCUAUUACCCUCAAACUGGCUAAAUGAAACUAUUCAAGGGUUUUUGUGUUUCACCCCUAAAGUUUUCAUCAACAUCGCUUUGCAGCCUUUGUGUUUGUGAACUGUGCCUUUUUUGUUUGUUUGUUUUUUUUUUUUUUGUUCUGGUCUAACACAACCUUACAUUGAAUUUUGUAUUUUGUUUAUUUGUUUGGUACAAGGGAGAUUUAGCAUAGAGUGAUAGUCGCAUUCAUUAAUCCAUGCCAAUGAUUACUUCUGUGAGAUUGGGACAGGCAUUAAAAACUCAUAGUUACAAUUGUCUCAAUCAAAAAUCAUUACUAACCCUGUACUAUUCUAUUCCCAAUUUUUGCAGACGUUGCUAGCUCUUCUCAAUACUUGCUUUGGGAAGAACAUGAGAAAAUUUAUUCAUAGUUUUGAGCAUUCAUGUAGAGAUCAUUUUGCAUUGAAUUCUCAGGGGUUAAAGGGAUAUACACAGUAGCGGUGUUAAAGCUCCAUGAGUAAGGGGUCAAUAGUCACUUGGAUCAAUAACAUGUAGUUUACGUUUCAAUUCAAUUAUUGGUUCACAGAAGAAAAUUAGUAUAAUGCAGUUGUUGUUCUAAAAUUUUGAAUCCUUGUCCGUUCAAGUGGUAUUUAUUACUUUUUCAAAUACGAUGGUGGAAAAUUUUAUAUUUUUAGAAAGAGAGUAAAGGGAAAUUUUUCCCAUAAUUUAAUUAAGGGUUGAAAAAUUAUGAAAAUUUGAGGGGGUUGGGGGGCAAUUUGUCUGCCUCAGUAGCCUGGCUCUGCCCCUCCAUAUGCACAGUAAUCUAUGUGAUCAAUCAACAUUGAUCAAACAUUAGAAAGAAAUAUGAACAAUAAUUGCACUUGUUCAACUGUUGGUAUUGGUACAAAAUCAGGAACGACAAUCUUACAUAAUCUUUUUUAGCCAGAAACAUAGCUUGGAAUACAUUCCUGGAUCAGGAAAUGUAAGUGUUGUGGAAACAAAUACAGAACAUAAAUAAUGACAAUAGGUAGAAUAAAAUGCAGGAUGAAAGAUUCAGUAACAAAAGGCUCUGAGCUUUAGAUCUGCAUGAGCUCUUCAAACGUUUUCAUUGCAGCAGCUGGCAACCCCAGAAGCACAUUGAUGCUUUUCCUUUCUCUUCCAUGAGACAGAAACAGGCUUACUUCCUUCUCUGGAAGGGCUACAGGCCCUGAUAAAACAGGUUCCCCCCAUCCAAAAUCAGUAGUAUGGAAAGAUAGCCUAGACCAGGUUGUGAUGAGAAGCGUUGCAGUCAAAGAAGGCCUUACUCUAGUUGCUUCGAAGUAGUCUAUAGCAGAUCUCAUAUAACUGUCUGUGACAAUUUGGACUGAUUCUUGGACUAGCUUCACUGCAAAUGAAAGUGGAUUCCCGACUAGCUCACCCGCGCUGCAAAAUGAAUUUGUAAGCACAAUUCCAUUGCCAAAGUAGCCUUCUGGAAUUGGGGGAUCAAAUCUUGAUCUUCCAUCAACUGCAAAGAGAAGUUUUGUCUUUUGAUCAGGCUUCAUCUUCAGGGCCUGGCUACGAGAUCGCCAUAUGAAUGCUGACAGGGCUUCAAAUGUGGUGCAUUUGGCCAGAGCUCCAUCUUCCAAAGCUUUCCUUUUGAGCUUUUCGAGUUUUUCUGGGUCAAAACAGAAUGACCUGUAGUGCAUUUCCUCCUUGUAUAGUUCAGCAGUAUUUGAUGUGUCAUCAAUUUCAGCGAAUUCAUGAUGGGGAAAUUCUAUCUUGGGAGGAUUUCGGGCUUUGAGUAUGGUUCUGUCCAUAAAUGGAGGCACUUUUAAAGGCAGUCCUCUGGCAACUUCACCCCAGGAGUUGACAAAUUCCAUUGCACCAAUCCCAUCAAACAUGCAGUGGUUCAUGCACAGCCCAAGAACAAAUCCUCCACACUUGAACUUAGUCACCUGUAGAGCAAAAUCAGUUAUCACUCAAAGACCUUAAAUUUCCAGGGUAAAGGAACAAUAAACAGCAGGGCAAGCCAUACCACGUAAGAUUGCACUAUUGCAAUAAUUUCUGUUAUGAAAGCUCUACCGAACUUUCAAGGAUAAAAUGUAAAUUCAGAUGCUCCACUUCUUUUCUUGAUCAUGUAAUAUACAUGUGACAUUGCAAAAGCCUAAUUCCUGAAUCAAAAUCUUUUCCUCUUUUUUUAUUCGCGGCCUUUUUCUUUAACCACAGAGAUUUGCUUAUAUUUUAGUUAUUCAAAGAUGUAAGUUUGCUGGAGCUAAUACUCGAAAUAGAAGUUAAAGACAUGUUGUAACCUGAGCAGCCAAAGGAGGAAUCUCCAGUACGUUUUUCGCCCCUGGAACAUCAUAAACCAGCUUUCCGAGAGUAACAGGAUCAGGCUUUGUGUUGUCGCCGAUGUCUUCAAUGGUGCAAUCUGCUUCAGCCUCAACAAAGACAGCCCCUUCUCCGGUACAAUCCACUAUCAGCUUUCCCUCAGGACUAAUGGUUAAACGCCCUGCAAGAGGGUGGUACUGAACAAGAACCUUUGAUAAAGCAUCCUUGAUCAUCCUUACAGCUUCCUCAUUGCCCUUUUCCCCUGAUUUAAAGCAGUAAAUUGUACGAACAAUCACCGCAAUGUUCUGAUCAAGAUUUGAGAGGAAAUACAGGCCCUUCUGUGUUUCUUCAGCUGGAGGGAUCAAAGUCGGUUGUCCCUGCUUGACGGUGAGCUCAAAUGUGUUGCUCUUACCAUUCUCCAUUGCUAAAAUUGUUCAAAUGACACAAUCCUGAGUCAAAACACCAUGUUAGUGAAAUUCAAAGAGAUGAAAUUUGUGUGUUUCGAGUGUUUCAUUCAUGCAAAUUGCAUCAGUGGAGAUAAAAUCUCAUGACUUGUUUAAAACUAGUAAAGACGGUCGAGAAAAAAACAUGUUCAGAUAUUUUACCUUCAAUAAGCACUCACUAGUAAAGAGAGCUUUUCUAUCUGUUGGCUGUGCUAAACUGAGAAUAUCAUGUUUUGGGGAAAGGGAUUCAAGGAAUAUAUAGGAAGACAAUUGCUUGCAAAAUUUGAAGAUUGUUAAGUUUUGGUUAACAAAGAUGGUCCAAUGAAAAUGACUAGUACUUUAUGAUUGGCAAAUUUAAUUGCUAAGAUUCUUCUUGUAGACUUCUAGAGAAAGAAGAUAUUAGACUAAUAUAUAUCUUUUGGGGGGGGGGGGUGUUAACAUUGCCUAUUAAUUCUUAUGUACGUAAUCCCAUUGUACUUUUGAUUUUAGUAAAUUUUGUUUUGGUCAUUUGGUGAGGACAAAUUCUAUAUACUCAUAUUGGUAUGGUUAGGCUACUAGCCAUGGAACAAAAUUUUAGUAACAGUCAAGAGAACAUGGCGUAGUAGAGAAGAUCCUGUGGGGUUGGUUGGUAGGGUUGGCGUCCAAAUUUUGAUUACUUGAUGCAUCUAAAAUUUGAUGCAGCAAAAUGCCACGCUACCCCAGAUAAUCACUUUAUUCCUAGUCACUUCACUUAUAAUAUAGCAUAACAACAAGAAAAGCAGAUUAUGAUCAAAUCUCCACAACAUUAUGGUUUUGUAAUUAAGUUGGCACUUUUUUGGCCUGGAUUGAUGGCAAUUCACCCCUACAUUACUCAAGGAUCAAAAAGUGUUUUGGGUUUCUUGAGGGUUAUGCUCUGUUGAAAACAGCCAAGGAGAACAUGUUACAGCAUCAAGGCAUUAUUAGCUAAUGUUGGGAUUUUUAUUAUUUUCCCUUUUCCUUAUUUUCUCCUAAAAUCUCUUCCUCUCCAUUACAAGUCCUUUUCUUUUUUCUUCUUUCAUCUCACUCUCUUCCUCAUCUUUCUCAAUACAUUUCAUGCUAAGUUACAUAUAUCUUCUUUUCACGUAUGACCUAAAUUAGAGGAAUUUUUUAUUUUCUUAUGUAUGUAUUGAAAAGAGGAAAAGAAGACCACAGUUCUGCAUGGGUUUACCUCUAACUUUCUGUUAGGAUGAUUAGUUAGUUAAUGGUGUGUAAGCACAGCCCUUUUUGAUCUUUUAAUCUCUGAUAAGUUGACAAUUAGAUUGAGCAAGUUGCUAUAUGGAAAUUCUGAAAAAGAUAGAUUAUGUAAGAACAAUAAUAAUAAUGAUUUGAAAGCCAUAGCUGAAAGUAAAAAAAAAAAACCCAUAUAUCUCCUGUGCGUUGAUAUUGUAGCCUAACAAACUCAAACAAAAACUUUUAAAUCUUAGAUUAGAACAGAAUAGCAAACUUAAGAACUUGAUAUAUGAGUUUGGUUUAGUUGGUGCACACCCUACCCUCAUCCAGAACGACUGCACUUACCUAACUUAAUCACAAGGUUUUUGUUCAUUAUUGCAAAAAAAAAAAAAAAAAUUUUUUUUGGGGUUUAUCAUUGCAAAUUUGGUAACGUUGAGGGACAAAAAAAUUUACUUUCAAAUUUUUAUUUAUUGCUUGAAAUUAGGGCGAAAUAAAAGACUUUUUGCUCACUUACAUUAGCUUAGUAGCACUGCCAAAAAAUAAUUCCUAAUUAUGCCAAAGCUAUGUUUUGAGUAAUAAUCACGAAAUUAGUCAAUAUCUGAGCAAUAUUUCAGGGCAAAAAUCCAGUGCUAUUGGAUUGGCUUUCUUCUUCUCUUCUUCGUCUUCUUCCUCUUCCUCUUCCUCUUUCUUCCCUCUUUUUUUUUUUUCCCUAUUGAUAGCUAUAAUUGGGAGAAAUAGUCCCAAAUUGUGAUCUCAGAUUCUGACGCAUAUUCUCACUUCUGAAUUCAACAACAUUUAGACUUUAUCUGAGACUAUAUUAUGCAGACAAGACAAUUUUGCUUCUUCCCUUGCUUUCCUGUUGAUAGCUAUGAUUGUGAGAAAUAGUCCCAAAUGGUGAUAUAUCAGAUUCUGACGCAUAUUCUCACUUCUGAAUUCAACAUUUCGACCUUAUCUGAGACUAUAUAUUAUGCAGAAAAGACAAUUUUCAGAUUGCAAUAAAUUUGUCAUUCGAUUAGUGUUUCGAUUGGAUUUUUCUACCAAAAAAUUUUUAUGUUUUCCACAAACACGUUUCUAAAUCACAUUUGAUCUCACAUAUAUCAAAUCGUUACAAUAUAUUUUUCUACAAAGCUGCAGAAAAUAUCAAUCCAAACAUUUUUACAGAACCAUCCAACAUUUUUAAGAUAAACUUAAACCAUACAUGCUGUGCAAGGAAUCAAGGACAGCAGCACCAGUGGAAACGUCAGGUCAAGGAUAUACAUAUGAUCAGAACACACCCACUAUGACGUUAAAAUGCAGCCAAAACCCACCAGAGACAGAAAUCCCUUUUAUUCUCUUAUCAAGAAGAACUAAUUAAGAACAAAACUAUCAUAGUUAUCAGAUAACAAGUAAGACAGAUGAUCUAUGCAUCGGAUAGAUAUCAUACUCAUCAAUUUGGAAUUAACAGACAUUGAUGAAAUGAUUUUUAACGCCAACCACCUAUGAUAGAUGGUAAAAUCCCACUUAUGAGAGAUGGAUUUCAUCAGAUGGAUUUGAUAUUCUUUUCCUUUAACUACGAGUAGUCUGCGUUUACUUAAUGGAAUCAUGUGUGUUCCUGUGCAAUUGCUAGAUUAAUAUAUACAAUUAUCUAUAGAGGAAAUUUUUAGGAACACAAAAGGUGUCAUUUCAACUUGUGCUUUAGAUAUUGUUUACAUUUGAUUUUACAACCCUUUUUUUUUUCUCUUUUACAUUACAGCAAGGUUAUUUAAUUAAUUUUUUUUUGUUUGUUUUAUCAAGCUAUAGCACGGUUAUUUUACCUACUCGAAGGAUUUAGGUACUUGCUUAACACAAUCAUAUCCGAAAAUUUACUGUACUUUUUUUUUUUAAUUGUGGAGGAAUGUAGUUUAUUCUAUUUUUACAAUGAUUCCACUAAGUAAACUAGAAAUAGGAUAGCAACUUGACAACGACGCUAUUUCCAAAGCAAGCAAGAAGAAUGCAUCCAGGAGCAAGCAUCUUGUUAAUAACUGAAAAACCAAAAUUACUACUACAAGCAAAAGUAAAGAGAGUUGCACAAAUUACAGGCUUAAUGGCUUGCAGCGCAUCAAUAUCAAAAUGAAAACUCAAGACAUUGAAGAUGAGUAAAAGACCGUCCUUUCAAAUCCACCCUUCUCACUGUAAAAUGUCUCAUCUAUGUGUCAAAGAACAGUAUAAAAAUUACAAAUCUAAGUCCACUGUGAACCCACUUCUGGAAAAUUUCCUAGGUGUUUUACAGAGUUUAACAUCAAAUAAAUACAACUACAUCAAUUUCAUGCUCAAGCUAUAAGCUAAAGAUAGGAAGGGGAUUAGAAUGUAAAAAAUCCCUAAUGGUGAGAUUUCAUCCAAAGUACAGACACACAGUUAAAUGUUAUAUGAUACAGGUGACCUAUUCCGCCUUCAUCUGUAAGAAGUUUGACAGAAGGAAAUGAUACCGCAGUUGCAGUUGUGCUGCACACCCCCAUCUGAUAAGAGUCCCUUGUACAACGCUUCUCAUCAUCAUACUGAACAACUAAUUCAAACUGAUACUUUCCUCAUCCACGGCAUAUGCUUGGAUUUUAAAUUUAAGCAUCAUUGUCAUCAUCCUCAUCUUUCUCAUGAUUACUCCCAGCCUCAGCUUCCUCAUCUUCUUCCUCAUCUUCCUCGUCAGUCAUGUUAUUUAUAACCUCAGUAAUUAUAGCCUUAACUUCAGACUUUCGGUGCAUUAGAUCCACUCCAAAGUGGGUUCCUGAAGGCAAUAAAGUCAACCAACUUAGCAACCACAAGUGUAACUUAAAGAGUACGAAUCAUAUGAUUCCAUUAAAAACAUACCAAGUUGCCUGAGAAUAUCAGAUAAGGUUGCCUGCAAUUAAGCAAGUACAAAGAUUAAUAAUAGACUCCACGCUGUCAGAAAUAAUUAUGCUCCAUAGAGAACAACAGAGACCACUUACAGUGUUAAAAUCCACUUCCUUCAAAAUGGCAACUACUACUUUAUGCAUUUCCUCAUUGCUGGGUUCUGCCUUAGCCUUCUUGUCACUCUUUGAUUUCCCUGUAAGUCUCAAAGCAAGUUAUAACAUGUUCACAGCAUACCAAUGGACGUGACGUUCUUUCAGAAAUGUGAACAAUCAUGCAGCAAAUAUUUGCAACAACUAUGCCCAGAUGCAAUUACGCCACACAAUUCAUGCAUCUUGGAACUUUCAAAAAAUUGAGUGAAUUUUACAACCAAUCUCAUAUAAGGUCAUUACUCUUAUGAACUAACAUCAAUAACAUACUAACCAGUAGUCAAGCAUAAACGCUAGUAGUCCAAAAUCAAGGACAGAAUCCUCAAACAUUCCGAAGCCAUACAGUGCAAUGCAUGGAUGCAGUAAAAUGAUAAUGAUGAAUGGCAAUAACACUCUGAACUAUGCUGUCAGUAUUUGAAUAAGAUUUUGGAUCAAACUAUAUUAAACAAUAAACAACACACCUUGAUCUUUUCCUGAACCCUUUGUCGAAGAGUUGCUUGACUGCUUAAUACUUGUAGCUUUUUCUUUCCCAGAAGCAUCACGUACUUUCUCGCUGUCCUUUUCAACCUUCUGUUUCUUAGAAGAUGAAACUUUGGACUUCUCCUUUGAGUCAGAUUCAGUAGCAACUUUCUUAGAUCCUGAACUCACAGUUUUUUUGGCACUUUUACCAGAGGUUUUGGGAGAUUUGGCUGGGCUCUCUUUCUUCACUGCCUUAGACUUCUCCCUGUUAUUACCACCAGAUUCCUUCUUCACACUCUUCUUAGAAGCACUUUUCUCACUUGGCUUCUGCUUGGGUUCCUCAUGAUCUUCUUCAACAUCUUCAUCUGACUUGCUCUGCUCAUUAUCACUUUCUGCUUUGACAACUGCAUCACUAUCCUCAUCCCCCAAAGAUUCUUGUUUGCUGUCAGAAUGCUCAAACGCAUCAUCUUCUUCAUCCUCAGUUGAGGAACGCUUGCGCUUUUCCCCAACUUCAGAAUCCUGUUUUUGUUUCUGAAAUUGAGUAGAAAUAACAUUACCAGUAUUGGCAACAAACAAAAAAAAGCCAAAGAAAUCGGAACAAAACCAUGACCUGCCAAAUGAUCUAUGUAUUUGAUAACAUACUACAUGCUUUCAAGAUACUAAAAACUAGUAGCACUUUGAUCUCAAAAAACUAAAUUUGAUAACCUUUCUCAUGAUUAAAAAAAAACAUUUUCUGUGCAGCACAGCAGGACUUACAGAAAUAUUAUACAGGAAACUGGCAUCUUAGCUUGACAACAACGAAACUUCAGUAUCUUGAAGCAGAUAAUAAAUAUUACUUAAUGGACCCUGAAGGGCCACUUCCUUUUACCUGGCUUAUCUAGUCAGAAAUUAAUGGAAUCACAAGGCUGUUUCCAAAAGAAAACAGCUGGAUUCAGCUAUGAGUUACUUGAAAGAUGAAAGCAAAGGAAACUAUACACACCAGACCAUAACAGUCAAAUCAGACAUCUCUCAGUAAUCCCAGAGACAAAUGUUACAAUCAAUCUCUAAACCCAAACAAAGAAAAUAAAAAAGUUGAAAAUUAAUUCUGUUACAACCUAGGCCUGGACAACAUAACAAGAUCAUCCAUGAUCCAGGAAAGAAUGAAGUUGCUCACAAAAACUUCAUCCUAACAUACGUAAACAGACAACUCAAGAUAAACUCCAGAAACCCCUCUUGCUAAACAACAGCAAAAAUUCCAAUUAUACCACUAUCCAAACCCAUCAAAAGUAGGACCAUACUCGCUGGAGAACACUACACGAAAUCCAUUUUUGUGGAAGGAACAUCCCAUUAAUGCCCCAAGCAAGCAGUUCCAGUAGCUAAUGACAAAACCCUUUGCUCUAACUGAAACUCUACCAUUCUCCAGUAAGAGUCUUCAAUCUUGCAGGGCAUUUAUUUUAGUUGGUAAAAGAGAUGGAGAAAAGAACAGUUAUUGCUUAUAUCAUCUACAUGCCAAAAAGAGAUUCAUCCACAAGCUAUGUAAAUUAUCAUGGGUUCCUUUUACCAAAGAAAAAGCUUUCUGAUAACAUGACAAACCAAAGAAACAUUUAGGCAUCCUCCAUUGGCAAGUACAAAGACAAUAAUCUACUUAAAUGACCCAGAAUGUCCACUGAUUACUGGAAAUACAUUGAAUUGGCAUUGUAAAUACAAUACCACCCAUUCAACAGGCUCAUCUACGUGAAAAAUCUAUAUGUACCAGAUCUUUUCCCGUACACUGUUCUGGCAAUCAUAUAAAUGACACUAACCUUUGCUGACUUUCCUGUAGCUGCAUCCGAAGAGCCUGAAGUUUUACUUGUUGAUGCUUUCACCUUCCGUCUCUUACCCUUCUGAGAUAAACAAACAACUUUAAGAACAAGAAUGACAUAUUAACUCUGCAGGAAAAGACAGCCAAAUAUUCAACCGAAAAGAGAGAGAGAGAGAGAGAGAGAGAUGUUUGAGUAAUCACCUGUUCCUGGUCAGCAAGCAAAACCUCUGUGGUAGCAUGUGGGGAUUCCAAGAACUCCAAUAACUUUGCUGAAAGAUCUUCCUACGGAAGUGUACAAGAUUGAUUAAAAAUAAAUGGAUGCUUCAACAAAUAACAUAACCAUCAGGGAAGUAAGCGGCAACUUGCCUUCUUUGCAACAGCUUUGUUCAACCGAAUAUUGAGGAUAUCACAAAAGACAAACAAUCUGUCCUUAACACAUUUGUCAAGCUUCUCCUUGACUUUUGCCCUUUGCUUUUCCUCCUGAAGACGUCAAACAAGGAAGAUUAUAUAAUGUCAGCAUAAUGAUCAGUACAUCACAACCCAUUCAUCUAGGCGUACACAUAAACUUGCUACAUCAGAUUACCCACUUAAAAUAUACCCAAGUUCACAAAUUAUUCAUGACUAUGGCUUUGAAAAAACAGAAGCAAAAACCAUACAAAGAACUUGAUCUUUUAGCUUAUGGUGGAAAGCAAAUGAACAGAAUAAAGUAGAAUACUUGUCCUUAAAAAAUUUUCUCCCAGUUACCCCAGUUUCAAAUGACAAGGACCUUCCCAGUUUUAGAUCCAUCUUCAGAUUCCCACGUGUCCACAAGGUCAAUGGCUCAUACAGACUUAUUAAUUAUCAUGCAGCAGCAGGAUAGUUGAUUUGUCAACCCAAUAGAUCCAAAUACAACCAAUUGGCAUAACAUGCUCAAGGCAGUUGGAUGAUUUACAGCCAAGAACCACUGAUUUCAUGAAUAAAACAGCACAUGUGAACACUUAACAGCCAUCAGAAACUGCACAACCCACAGCAAGAGAGAUACAAAUCCAACCAUUUCACAUAAAAAGCUUUACCAAAAAGACCAAUAAUAACAAGAAAUAAAGGACCAAGAGUUCCACGUGAUUUUUACCUCAUUUUCUGUCCAGACAAAGCCUGAAAACAUGCCUAUGUUUUUCUUCAAAGUCUGUGCCUGCAUCACAAGACAAAAAUACUUUACAAGGACAAAAUACUUCUCAUUCCCAAAUGAGCUUACAAAAAGAAAGUGACAAGUACAUAAGGCACCAUACGCAUACCAUUUGGCAGCCAUUUCUAGUUUAACUACAAAAUAGCUAAUUGAAUAAUGCAAUCCUAAAAAAAACAAUGAAUAUUUUGGGUUAAAAAAAAAAGAAACUCACCCUUCCUUUCUUGCCAAAAAGAAUGUAGUGAAGCAUCUGUAGAGUGUCAUCAGCUUUUCUUUUUGAUAGCUUAUAUGCCACUGAAACAAUUCACAAGAUCAAUCUUAAAAGGUGAAACCUUUUCCAAGGAAGUAUAACAUAUAGACAAUAACACAACAGCCACAAGCGAAAGAAAUUCUACUAUGCUAGGGACAAAAGGAUCUAAGAAAACUAAAUAAUCCAAUUUAGCAACAGCAAUAACAAACACUAAACUAAGGCAUUGAGGAAUUCUAAGAAGUUAAAAAUGAAUGUGCCUACAAGAUACCAGGAAAAGAAGCCUUUGACCACUUAUCCUUCCAAUCUGCUAAAACUAUUCUCAAAUAUCAACAGACAGAACCAUAUCAGGCAUACGAUUUACAAAUCUAAUUUUACUCAAUAAGAUAACAAAGUCAAAACCUUUAAUUGUAACUUACAAAACUCCAAAUCAAUUUGUCAGCAAGUUUCCAAAUUAUACCUCCUAUGCUGUGGUAAACACGAUGUAGCUACAAUAGGUUUCCCUUCUUUCAACAUAGCCAGAAUAUAGGCAUUUCAAAGAUUUCUGACCAAACUCAUGAGAAACCUUAAAUUGUGAAUUAAUAAGAGUUCAUAGGCCCUUUCUUCCUCCAUGACUAGUUUUCUGUGCUAUCAAUAAGACUGAAUCAACAUCUUUUAGCCACCAUGAUAACACCAACAAACAGAGAACUCACCUAGUACUAAAACCCUUAAAGCACCACUGCACACCGAAAACCACAAAAAAGAAUUUAACCCUGCUCAGGCUUAAAUCUCAGAGCUGUCUCCAGACAGUCACAAUUCAUAAACCACUCUUUGAGUUCUCUUUCCUGGACACCCUGAAUCUCAACAUUCAUUACAAAAAUUAAAAAAGGCAUACUUGGAAUGUCCACAACAAAACAGAAGCAUUCUCUUGCAUGGGAAUGACAAGAACCACCUAGAAAACUUGUACUAUUGUACAUAGACAUAAACAUCUACACCCACCGACAACACAGUACCCAGACAAAAAGAAAAAUCACUACAAGUCUAAAACUUUAAUCCAUGAGAACAAUAAAGGCCCUAAGCUUCUGACACCAACCACAUCAUGACAACUUUGAAUUAUUCAGCUUAUGAAUAUGCAAGAUAACCACAAUUACGGGUCGAACAAGCCUCAAAUAGUCAAACUCAUAAAACUCUUAACUAUUAACUGCAUUUCACUGAACUAAAAUAAAAUUAUCACAGUGAAAUGAUACCAUUAGGAAUGUCCUUUAGCGGCGUGCCUUGACCCUGCAAAAGGAAAAAAAAAUUACACAAAAACCAAAUGAAUUUCGAAACAAAUUUUGCCAAUUAAUUCACUUAAUAGUCAAAUCCCAUACUGAAAGAAUAAAAAAUCAUUGCCUUCUCAAUAGCUAUCGGUUGGCGACGCACUCCUUGCGGCAGAAGUCUCGGUAUAUCUCUCCACAGUCUUCCUCUCCCUGGUGGGCCUCUCAAUCGCCGGUGUCGCCGGUGAAACCUUCUCUUUCACUUUCUUAGCGCUCUUCUUCACUUUCUUCUUCUCCUUCUUAUCCUCCUCUUCUUCUUCUACCUCAACUUUUUCCUCUUCUCCAUCCUCCUGCUCUACUUUCUCCUCUUUCUCUUCCUUCUUAUCAACUUCCAUCUCAUCUUUUCCUCCCUCUUCUUCCACCUCUUUAUCCGGCAACUUCUCUUCACCCGCUGCGGCUUCUUUUACCCCUUCUCCACCAUUUUUCACAGCAGCAUCCGGAUCCUCCUCUUCCUCCUCCUCCUUCUCCUCCUUUCCUGGCUGUUUCUCCUCGAGGGUUUCUUUCUCAGAAGCCAUGAAUCAAAAUUCACCAACAAAAACCAAAAGGGCUUGUCGGGAGAACAAAAAAUUGACAAUAGAUUAUACUACUAGGAAAUAGAGUAAAAGUAAAACCCCUGGUCUGGGAUUUUAGGGCUUUAGGGGAAAAGGGGGUUUUGGUAUUGGGUUAAUUUUUUGAUCGUUCGAAGAAGAAAUCGAGUGAGAGUAGGGGAUGAGAGAGGAAGCGGUGAAAGCAUAAAAAUAAAAUGACGAGAAAGGGGUUUUGGGGGGAGGCAAAUUUUGGGGAAAAUUUUGGGGGAGGCGGGGAGAUUUGUGGUUGGGUGGGAGGGGGCUUGGAGUUUUGAAAAUUUUCGCGAAAUUCGGUGCCGAUUCAAUUUACCGGGUUGAUUCGCCUAGUUGGCUCAGUUGAGCUUUUGGGGAUUUGGGUCUCUCCGGUCGCCUUUCUCCUAUUUGCUGCAACUUUGAUUUGUUUCCCUCUAUUCAAUGAAGAUAAUGGCUUGAAUUUUAAAUUUUUGAAAUUAUUAUAAUUUAAUGGUCAAUAAUACUCAUUUUACAUUUCAACUCUAAGGUCAAUAAAACUCAAUUCAGUAAUUAAAUUUAAUAAAUUCAGAUUUAAAUAUAUUCAAAUGUAUUUAAUAACUAAAAAUUAAACAUUUGAAUAAUUAAGUGAUACAUCCAAUACAAUAAUUAUUUAUUACACUAUAUCUCCAAACAAUAUAUUUAAAAGCAUUUAAGCAGUUAAUAAGUACUUUUAUUAAAAACUGUACUAAGAAAGUACUUUCCAAUAAGUUACCCUAAUUUCAAAUUGGCCCUUAUUUUAAUUUUUUUAAAAUAUUUCUUGAUGUGAAUCGUUAUAUUCUUUAUUUAAAAAAUGAAAGUAAUUGUUAUACUACAAGAGCUCGAUCUAGGCUCAACAUGUUGUUUGACCUUACUUGGACUAAGGUCAAAUAAGCUAAAGUUAUAUCUAAUCACGUUUGAGCUAUACAAUACUCUGUCUCGAUUCAGCUUGGUGAUACCUCUACACUUCAUAUUAAUGAGCAAAUCAUUAAAUGUUUACGUUAACAAAAUUUUGAAGAAUAUUGAUGACUAGUUCAGUGAUGAUGGUAUUUUCUUAGACUUGAAAUCUAUUAACGAAGUUUAAUUAUUUUGUUGUUCAAUAAAAUAAAUAAAAUCCCUAAGCUUACUUUAGUUCAAACUUAUCCGGAAGAUGGCAGCUAAAUACCCUUAGCCCCCUCCAAUAAUCAGGGUAUCGUUUUGUCUCAAUGUUAAUUAAUGGCAUUUUCCUUGUUCGGGUAACAUCGAGUGUUAACUCAAACUUGUUACUGUGAGACCCUUAUACAGGCCAUAGAGCAAGGUUUGUUAUUUAAUGAUCUUUUCCAAAAGAGCAAGAAAGAAAGAAAGGGAGUAAGGUGAGGGUGUGGGAGGGGGAGGGGGUGGAUGGGGCUCUCUUCCCAAAUCUAUUGGAUGUGGGUUCUUCAACCUGAGUUUAAGGUCCAUAUGGUUCUCGUUCAGUUACCAAUUGAUUGGAUAUGGGUUUUCUUGUAGUCCCUUAGAUUACUGUUAAUUGGGUCCUCUAACCGUUAAUCUUCUGAGUGUUUCUAAUCUAAUUGGAUGUGUGUGUUUCUAUUUCUCGACAGAAAAAAAAAAAAAAAAAGGGAGUAAGAUCUCAAAAGUUUGUGAGAAUGAAUACAUUAAUUCAACAAUCAACCCCCACCUAACUCUUCUAUCCUUGAAUAAAAGUUUAAAGAUAUCAUUAAGGUUGUUAGGCUUUUUAUGAAUGCAUUAAGAUCUCUCCCUCUUUUCUUUAGGCUUCUCUAUGCAUUUAAUUACAACGUUCUAAAAGUCUAGGAUUAUCCAUCCUGAUUUUGGUUUAUUUAUUUUCCAUUUUUUUACCUAUAUAAAUAUUGCAAAUAACUGAACCAUGAAUUCAGUUAAGAAGACUAAAGGGGCGGAAGGGAAACAACCGAUUAUUGAGUAUAAUCAAAGAAUCAUCUCACAAACCUAAACCUCACCUCACGAGGUUUUUAACAAUUUCACUAACCACCGUUGAGAGUUUAGAAAUUACAUCCACUUCUAAUGUCUAUUAAUUAAAAAUAAUAAUAUUCGCCUUUAAAAUAACGCUGUAAUGAAACUCUUUCUUUGAUGUCUAUUAUUCUUUCCUUUUCUUUUUCUAUUCUUAUUCUUUCCUUUUAUAUUUUGCAAGUACAACUAUGAAACUAUCAACACUGUCCUAAGCCUUCAUCAUAACCAAAUGUCGAACUAGUCAUCUUUUUUGACAAGAUAACAUUGGAUGUGAUCUUUUUUUUUUUUUUUGCUAUUUUUGUUUUGAUAAAAAAAAUAAUAACUCCAAUUGCAAUAGUUCAAAAUCACUAUCAAACUAUGGUAAUUCUACCACUACAAAGAUCCAUAAACUCUAAAAAUUUUAUCGUAACACUUUCUUAUUGUAGUAGAUAUCUAUAUUCUCAAUAAAGCAACUUCAAAAUGUUUCCUAUCUUAGUAAUAGGAUUAGCAUCAUAGUUUCUUAUCAAAUGAUAUAAGUACGAAAAUUUGACACAUGUUCUUUAUAAUUGUGCAAAAUUAUUUUACAAUUGUUUAGAAAAGAAAAUUCAGCUUUUAUUAUAUGAAUAUCUUUCUCUUUUUAUUAAAAUUUUAAUAUAUGAAUCUAUUUUAGGGUAUUCAUUUAAAUUUUUUUGACCAAGUUGAGGAGAUUUUGAGGUUCAGUUCUUAAACCUAUCAAAUCAGGAAAAGUAGGUAUAAUCUUUGAAACCUUGAAGAAACUCAAUGAAAAUGUUAGAAAGCUCAAGAGAGGUUUCUUAAAUUAUCCCUAUAAUCAAAAUUUACACAAAAAUUGACAAAAAGUGUGCAUAUAACUUUUUUGUAUUUAUUGAUGUAAAAUAUCUAUAAAUAUUAUUACUUAAAAAAGUUAUCAUUACAUACUAAUAAAGCUUGAAUUUGGGCUUCCUGUAUUGUCGAACUUACUUGAGUCAAGAUCCGCCAGGCUAGUUAUGCUGAUUAGAGUUCAAGCAUUGCAUUAUGCAUUAUGCAUUAUGCAAUGUCAAUCUUCGAAGAAGAAAAGCGAUACUGAAAGUAGGGGUGCAGAGAAUUCGAGUAGCUUGAAUCGAGCUCGCGAGUAGCUUGGUUAGCUACUCGAAUCGAGCUCGAGCAAAUUCGAGCUCGAGGCGAUUUCGAGCUACUUGCUACAGUAAACGAGUCGAGUUCGAGUAAUUAAUGGCAAGAAAUUUUAACUCGUCGAGUAGCUCGAGCUUGGUGGCCUAUUUGUAUAUUUUAUAUAUCAAUUUACUCUUUUAGGUUUUUAGUUAGAAUAUUUACGGGCUUAACCAGUUAUGUUGUAAUAAUAAUGAAGGGUGAAUAAGUAAUUUUGGCUCGUAAACUAAAAGCGAUGAAAUGCAUUGCAAACUCUGUCCUUCAUUUGCCUUCUUCGUUCCUCUUCAGUCUUCAGAGUUCAGCUUACCUCUCAAAUCCCAAUCUCAGUCUUUGGCUCAUCUUCUCAAAUCUCAAUUGUCACUCAAAAAAAUUGGGGGCUGCUGCUGCUGCAAUACUUGUAAUGGUUUCUGAGCUCUUGAGUCUUGACUUAGAGGAAGCUCUUGAGUCUUGCGCGCUGCUGGCGCACGCCGUGGAGGAGAGGGCGUCGCGCGUUGGCAGAUGACUGCGCGCCGUGCGCAGCUGCUGCUGGACUGCUGCGGCUGAGUUGCUGCUCGAUCUGCCUGGAGGUGAACUGGAGCGCAAGGGGCAGGCUGCUCGCAAGGGGGCGACUGCGGUUGAGUCGCGCAGGGGUUGCGUGAGAAGGAGCUGCUGGUGGCGAGGCGCGGCUGGGCAACAGGCGCGAUGGGCGGCAGUGUGGCGUGCGGCGAUCUGGCGGGGUGCAAAGUGGCGGCGGCGGACAAAGAGAAAAGAAGGAAGAAGAAGGAGAAAAAGAAAGAAAAGGAAGAAGAAAGAAAAGAAAGAGAAGAAAAAGAGAGAAAGAGGGGAAGUAGGGCUGAUGUUGUUGUUGUUGCUGUUGUUGCUUCGAUCGGAUGCAUGUCAAGUUCGAGUACUCGACUCGAGCUCGAGCUCGAUAUGCAUUCAAGCUUGAUUGAGUCGAGUACGAUCUUACUCGUGCUUGUCUCGAGUCAAUCCCGAUCUUCAUUGCUCGAGCUCGAUUCGGCUCGAUUUCACCCCUAACUGAAAGAGAGAGAGAGAUGUACAUGUGCAAAAUGAUUGUUUUAGUUCUCACAGCAAAUGAAAUAUCAAGUAUUUUUAAAGGAUUUUCAGAUGUUAGUUUUUUUUUAAAAGCAUAAUUAAUUAGGAAAAGAUGUUAGUCUUUUGAAAAAAAUAUAAUUAAUUAGAAAAAGUGUCAGAAUUCAGGGGUGCAAUAACUUAGAUGUAAUUUAAAGAGACGCCUUUUAGAAAUAUCACUUGUUUUAUUAAGAGGCCUACUAGCUGUUUUUGUACAAUAUGUGAUUAAAUUUAACUAAAUUUGUCAAGAAGGAUUUACUUUAAUGGUUAAAAUGGAAACCCCAAAAAUUAGAAAUCUUGGAUUCGAAUAUUUGUUUUACAUGUCAUUGUUUGAGCUCAAGCUUCAAACUCAAGCGGAUAUUUGACCCAGAAGCUUGCAAGUCUCAGUUCAUUUAUACCUGUAGCACGGUGAUAUGCUCGAAUUGGUGAUUUAACGUGUACCAAUUUUUGAUGUAGGUAAAUUGAAAACUCAAUAAAAUAUAACAACAAAAUUAGGAUGAAUAAAGUUGGUCAACAUAUACUCCCGCGGUCCAUAAAGAUUGGCUGACUUUACUUUUGUGUAUGUCCCAAAUUAUACGCUUAUUUCCUUUUUUAAAGAAUAGUUAAUUUGUUAUUUUACUAAUAUACUCAUAUUUAAUGUACAUAGUUAUUACAAAUUUUUUUAAUAAACAUUAGUUGCCUUCUAUAUUGUUUGGCAAUUUUAUUUUUGUUAUUUAUUUUAGUCAAACAUGUAACAUUAAUUUGAUUGACUCUUGUAUUGAAAAACUAAAGUACCUUAAGUUCCUAGAAUAAUAUAGUAAUAUGAACCUGUUACUUUGAAUGAAUGAUCUAAUAUUAACAAGGGGUAUUUGAGGAAAGCAUGAACACAAAAAUAAUUAUUGUAACUAUGUUAGCUAAAUUUUUUAAUUUAUGUAAAAAAAAGAAAUAGGUCUAUCUUUACAGGACGGAGACAGUAAUUAAUGCAUAUAAAGUAAUCCCAACAAACUUUACGAGUUAUCUCAAACUCCUAUCCUAGGAUAGGAUGGAUGGAUGUAGUUGGUGGUUGAAUUGAUUUAUUUUGCUAAUGUCUCAUUUCCAUUUCAUCUUCAAGAAGACAUCAUUAAAAAGAACACGCCACUCUAUGUGGCCUGUAUAAAGGAUCCACAAGACAGAGUUUCAAGUACCCAACACUUGCAUUUGCACCCAUCAGUCUUGCAACAUGUCAAAAGUUCUUCUCCUCUGCUGCAUUCUUUCGCUCCUCUUUGUCAUGAAUCUUGGUACUUUUUCCUUUUCACUCUCUUCUCUCAAUCCUUGUUGUUAUGAAAAAGAAUAAUAGACAAAUGUACGCUGGAUUGGCAGAUAUGGCCAUCUUAAUUAGACUUGCUACACAUUGCCUCCCUGACAGAGAAAACUAGACCAGUUUUAAGUUACAUAUAUAAAACUGAAAUUUUCGCAUCGAAAAAACGAAAUCAAUGCAUAUGAUUAAAAAGAAAAGCAAAGAGGGUUGUUGGAUUAUGAGUUUUUUGUGAACUUAGAAUUUUUCUCACAUGUACAGCUGAAGAAGUCCCAAAUGCAGGAGGGUUGGAGGAUUCCAAAGUUACGGUAAAGCACCUUGGACUCAGAUUAAGCGUAGCGCAAUGUGUUAGAGAUUGCCACGCGAGGUGGCCAAACUCCACAGCGAGAUGUCCCAUUUUUCAUGGCCAUAUAUGCGCCUGCCUAUGCUAUGUCCCUUGACUCCCUUCUCUCUAAUUAUUAUUGUCAAUGAUAAUUUCCGUAAGCGAGAAGGCCUAUAUAAUAUGUAUGUGACUUCUCGGUUUUUAUACAGAAACUAUUACAUGCUAUGAAAACUUCUAUAUUCCAACAAACUUUACGAGCAAUAAUCUAUAUUCUUCGCUCCAAAAGUCAAAGAUUAAUCAUCCAACUGGACCAUCAUUAAUCCUAAAGGCAUGAAGAACAAUGACAAAUUUUAAAAGUUCUGAGAUCUAAUGGAAAUUUAGUAUUAGCUAUUCAAAAUUUGCUACGUGAUCAAAAAGAACGAUGGAAACGAGUUUGUUGGACCAUUAAUUUCCAAAUUGCUUGAAAUUUUUUAAACCCACAUAAUUUUAAACACUACAGAUGAUGAUUCAAGGCACAAAUAAGUUGAAAGGAAAAGGCAAAGUGGGUGUGAAUCUUGGACGUUAUAUAUGAAUCUUAGGUACAAGGAAAUGUAAUCCGGCACUACAAAACCAAUUUUGCAUCCUGCCAACUAAACAAAUAAUUAAAAUUAUAAAAGCGCAAAGUUUAAAACGUGUAUAUAUAGCAACUUUAUACAGACCUGAUUCUGCUAUGAAAUUUCUUAUAAUUGGUGAAUGAAUUGAAUAGUCAACAAAAUAAAGACACAGAAAUUUAAACAAAUUCGAGGUCAAAUAUAUCAUGCCUGAAGGUGUGAAUAAAAGGCUCAUUCUUCUACCCAAUAUCUACCUUAGUUGGUAGGAAUACUAGUACGUGAUCAUAAAAUUCUUCAUUCAACUUUUAAACUCAUUUUUUAGAAAAGGUUUGGAAUCUCCUCUUAAACUAAAAAACAAAGAAAAAAAAUGCUUAUCGUUUAGAUAUUGGAGGAAAAUUCACCGCAUUCAUAUUUGAAUUGUUGAGGCUUAAAUUAUUGAGUUUUAGUCUUUUCUUUGGGUUUCAAAAUUGUUAAGACAAUUAAUUGUCCUAUGGUACAAUAAUCAUGCCGUCCCAUCAACAACAAUUGCGUACCUCUCAAAAACACGAGAAAACAAAUCAUGCUUUAUCUUUUCCCAAGCCAAUCCGUUGUUCGAGGCAUUAUCGUCUCAAACAACUAAUUACUUGAUGGAUUUCUCUUUACGCCCAAAAAAAAAAAAAAAAAAUCAAUCAAGAAAAAAGGGCUGAAGUUUUUAUUCACAUUCAAUUAGGAAUCUGUUCACCACAUCUCAAGGCUGUCAAGUCCAUGAGUUCAUAUAGGACGUUAGAUAAUUUGGGUCAUUAGUAUUUACCUUCUAUGGGGAACUAUACAGCGUUUGCGGCCUCUCCGACUGCCGGAUAGAUCAAAUUAGCAGCGCACUUUUAUCGAUUUCAUCCCUUAUCCGACUUUCUCCUAAGGGCCAUAUAAAUGACAGCAGAAAUAGAAAAAUAACUAACUAGAAUUUGCCAAAGCGAAGCCAAAGUGCUCCAGUAUUGCAAGUAUAUAGUAGUACUAGUACUUUGUGAUUUUCAUGAUUGGUGGUUUUUGUAAUUUUGUAUGGCCUGACAACUUGACAAUUUUUUGCCUUGGCUUAUGGAUAGUGGAAAGAGCAAAUGGAAGAACUAUUCAACGAUCAAGAAAUUAGUGGUUUCUUUAUCUUUUGAAAGCAUUCCUCCAAAAUCUUCAAGAAUGGAGGGUGCUACAACCAUUUUUUCGUCGAAGAGUAAAUCAUGGCAUUGUGCUGGAUCAGCUGAAAAAUCCCAGCAAAAUCAUGCUGAGUACAAAACAAGGUAUAAGAUUGCCCCUAAAGGUUGUUUUUCAGUGUAUAUUCAAAUGGUAUAUGUUGGCCCUGCGAAACAAAGAUUUGUUAUCCACUGUUGAAGAUGCUGAAUUGGGAUAUGCAUAGAGCAAUGAAGGCCCUCUUUUGCUUCCAUGUGAUAUUGAUCUUUUUUGACAAGGUUUUGGCUGAGAUGGAUAGCGGGAAAGAGGCCAUGGUUGAUGAUUCUGAUUCAUCAGCUGGUGGUGGAUUUGCGUAUGGCUCCUGCAGUCCUUUUAGUCCGGCACGGGGUCUCCGAAAUGGCACCAUGUCUAAAUGUUAUAGUCCAUACGAACUUCUCACUCCACCCAGAUUGCUGAACAUCAAUUAGUACUUCUCAUUGCCUUUUCUAAGUUAUUCUGCCGUGUAGGUGUAGGAAUAAUGUCUUAUUUUAGGCUUUCUCAAUAAGUAUGGGAUGUGACAAAAUGAAACAUGAAGGGUUGAAUGCCGUGAAAAUUUAUUACUCAAGUGUUGAUUAACACCUUAUCUGCGUGCAUGUGUCCAAACUAGGGCUAUUUUGAAGUGUUUUCGAGGAAGAUAUGUUCUCAGGAAAAUAGACAUCCAGUAUCUCUCUUCUUGUCUGAAAUUUUUAACUGGAUUAUGAAUUGAGAUAAUUGUCAAAAAAGCUUCAUUUAGUCAUAUAAAGUUUGACUAAUAUCGCCAAAUUCAUAAUCUCACUCAAACUUUUGGGAUUUUGGUUUUCACAAAGAAAACCAGAAAAGAUUUUUCUCUUUUUAAUUAGAUACUUUGCUCCUCACUUUGUCAUCAGAAGUGCAUAAUACAUGUAUAAGUCGACUUAGUGAUUCUGCCUUGAAUGAUUGGAACUCCCAAAUAACGCCCAAUAUUUUAUUCAUCAAGGGAAAUUGAGUGCAUCGACUAAACUUUCUGGCAGUGGAUCUACUAAUAUUAGGGUGAGGCAUACAACUUAGAAUUUUCCAAAUUAAUUUUCUGGGCUGAUGUACCAUAGAAAAUCUCCAUAUAUGUUUGCCCUUUCCCUGGUUCCCACAUCGUUCGUGUUAGGUGUGUGUGAGUGGUACUUAAGGUGCUCAAGUAUACUCAGAAGUCAGCAAUUACCUUUUGGGUAUCCUUGUGGAGUUACCUUAGGUAACCGUUUGUGUAUUUUUGACAAAAAUGGUAGAAAAAAACCACCAGAGAGGAGAGAUGUGAGUGGUACUUAAGGUCCUCAAGGUCCUCAAGUAUAUAUCCUUGUGGAGUUAUCGUUUGUGUAUUUUUGACAAAAAUGGUAGAAAAAAACCACCAGAGAGGAGAGAUGUGAGUGGUACUUAAGGUCCUCAAGUAUACUCAGAAGUCAGUAAUUGCCUUUUGGAUAUCCUUGUGGAGUUAUCUUAGGUAACCGUUUGUGUAUUUCUGACAAAAAUGGUAGAAAAAAAGAGAUACAGUAUGUCUCAUAAUCUUUGUUUACGAGAUUGACGGUUCACCAAACAAGAUUAAAUCACCUUCAAGUAAUAUUGACUGACUUCCAAGAUUACUUGUUGAAUAGAGUCCCAAGAUUAAGUUGAUGAUGGAUUUUGGAAUAAAAUAGCCAAAUGCCACUCUUUGAAGCCUUCCAAGAUAGCUAAAUGCCACUAGAAAAACAAGCCGGCUCUUGUACUUCCACGGUUGGAAAAGUUGCAACAUCCUUGCAUUUCAAUUUGAUGAGCUAUAAAGCCUUUAGAUUUAGGUUAAUCAAGAAUCAAACUAGAAGGCUUAUACAUGAGAAUUAGGUAUGUCAAUUGAUAGGAUCUUUUCCAGAUGCAACCCAGAUCUAAUGUACUUGGAUAGAGUUUGAAUUUAAUUUCUUAAAUACAGAUCCUAUCUAAACCCAGACUGUAAAAAAGUUAUGGAUCUGGGUAAAGUCUGAUUUUGUGUGAUUCAUAUCCAAAUCCAAAUACAUACCAGGCCCAAUCUAAACCCAUGUAUAUAUAAUUAAAUUAUGUAUAUAUAUAUUAGUAAAUUUAUAAAAUAUUCUAAUAUUUUAUGGCCAUUGGAUCGAAUACAAUAAGAUUUCAUGAUUAUUUUUUUUUUUCAAACAAAUCCUAGUUAUCAUUGUAAUUAGUACAAACUUUUUAUAAAAAGGAGUCAAAGUAAAGGCAAAUAAAUGAAAGAUUGGACUUAGAUAUAAUUGAAAUUUAAAAAAUAAACCGAAGUAGUUAAUAAUAAUUAUUUUUUGAGUACAUAAUAUUGCAUCCAACUUCUUGAAUAUUAAUUUUAUUAUUUAAAAAUAAAAAUUGGAUGGUGUUUAUAUUUUUUAAAAUCUAUAUAUUUUUACUUUAGUAUAUUUAGGAAAAUAUAGCGAAUACCCAUUGGGUAUCCAAAUCCAUAAGAGUCUAGAUUUGGACUUAUUUUUUCAGACCCAUAAGGGUUUGGAUCUAGAUCUAAGUUUAACUAAAUUUAAUGGGUCUGAAUCUAGAUCAAAGGGAUGUAAUCUGAGCCCUACCCAUUGAUAUACCUAAUGAGUUUAAUGGACUUAUUUUUUCAAACCCAUAAGGAUCUGGAUUUGGAUCAAAUUUAACUAAAUUUAAUGGAUUUAGAUAUAGAUCAAAGGAAUACAAUCCAGAUUCUACCCAUUGACAUGACUAAUGAGAAUAAUAUAUCUUAGUAUAAAUUUCGUUAGACACGAUACAAAACAUUACAGAUAGUUGAGCAGGCUAAUUAUACCUCCAGUAAAUUUUUUCUAUUCCAUUUUUUUUUUGGAUAAUGUUAUUUACACCCCAUUAUGUUAUCUGCACUUCCGCUAUCCCAUUUUCAUCUUGACGAGACUAUAUUACUACUAUUUUAAUUUCUUUUCCUACCAUAUCUUGUGUUCACAUGUAAGGAAGUUCAGUACAAUUGUUGUACGUGUCCAAAAGGUAAAAAAAAAAAAAAUUAACUUUUGCUUCUUUUUUUCUACAUCUACAUAACUAUUUGUUUAAUUUUAUUUCAUAUUUUUAUUUUAAUUUCAAUUUUACAGAUUUUUUAUGAGCACAAUUGAGGUUUCAUUGCAUCAUCUAGUGACUAGAUGCUAUUAUGCUUUUGUUGGAAUAUACUAGAAAUGUUCAUUCCUUCUAUGGUGGUUAUAUGAGCUAUUCUUAGUAGGUUUUUCGAAGUAUUAAUAUCCUAUUUAUGAGACAUUAUAGUUACAUUCAAGUUUUGCUCAUCUUUGAUUAGGGUGACAAUUCUUGACACGACUCGAAAAUAUGAUUCGAACCUAAUACUCAUCAUGAAUUCGGGUCAAAUUCAAAUCAAAUCCGAAUGACCCGCCUAAGUAAAUAGGUCCAAUUCAGGUCAACUCACUGGUUGACCUAUUUGACCUGUUUAAUAUAUAAUUUUAUAAUCUAAUUAAUAAAUUAGAGGCAUAAAGUAAAUAAAAAAACUAACUAAGGCUAUAAAUUAGUAUUAUAAGAAUGGAAUCAUGAAUAUUAUGUGAAAAUAAGGUAUUUUAUUUGUGAAAGUGUCAUAAUUUUGUUUUUGUUCAUAUUUUUUUUGUAGAAAAAGAAAAAUAAAAAAUUACAACGAGAUUGGGUUGUAAUUUUAUAUAUUCUUAUGGAAACUCCAUUAUAAAAAAAAAUCCACCAUACUACCAAAUUGAGAAGGUUAAAAAAAAUAUUAAACAAAUAGGUUAUGCAAGUCAACUUCGGAUAACCCACAAACUAACGAGUCAUGUGGUCAAAAAAGUUGACCCAUUUAAAUUUUCGGGUCGGAUUUGGGUGGACGUCUUGGUAAGAAUACCUCAGUCUCAAUCCGACCCGUCAACCCACGAUCCGACCCGAUUGCCACCCCUAUCUUUGAUGCUUGAGAUUUUAUUUAUUUAUUUAUUUAUUUAUUUUGGGCUUGAAGUUUAGAAUCUAUUCAUAUUACAUUGUUAGAUUGAUCUUUGGCAUCUUAUAAUUUCGUGAAAUUUUGUAGAAAAAUACAUAAUACAUAUAAGUGACAAUUUUAAAUUAGUCAUUUUAAUGUGUAAUGGAAUAAUUAAUUUGUUUUAGAAUGUAAGAGAAAAUCUAGAAAAGUUAACUCAUAGGCAAGAAGAUGAAAUUAGAGAGGGGGUAAUGUGGUCUCGUUAAAAUAAAAAUGAGAUGGUAAGCGUGCAAAUAACAUUACCCUUUUUAAAUUUUUUUUGGCAUAGAUUAGUACCUAUGAUUAACAAAAUCUUCGUUUCAAUCCGGCCCAACUCCUCAUGUCUUGUUGGCUCGGUGGAUUGGGUCUGACCUAAUCAGGAAUCUUUCAACUGAUGCCAAUCCUAAUAACUCAUAAACUUUGUGAUUAAACUCUAAUAACUUUCAAGUUUCACAUAGCAUUAAUUGUUUGAGCUCAAGCUUUAAAGUUUAAAAUUCAAUCAUCACCGGGGUCAAGCUGAUCUCUAACGAAGAAGCUUGCAAGUUCUCAGUUCAUUUACAAUUACACCCCUAGUACAUUUGGUUGACCCAUAAUUAAUGCAUAUUGUGAAAAGCCUAACAAACUGUAUGAGUUAUCCCAAAUUUUAACAGAGAACAGAUUAAUGCAAUAAGUGUCCAAUUAAUGAAUUCUAAGAGACGCCUAAAGAUCUCAUUUCCAUUUUUUGUUUUGUGGAAAAGAUCAUUAAAUGAAACACACCACCACUACUUGGCCUGUAUAAAGGAUAUACAAGAACAAGUUUGAGCAGCCAACACUCGUAUUUGCACCCAUCUUUCCUCCAAAAUGUCAAAAAUUCUCAUCUUCUGUUGCAUUCUCUCCCUUCUCUUUGUCAUCAAUUUGGGUACUUUUUCUUUUCACUCUACCCUCUCAAUCCUUGUUAUGAUAAGAAAAAUAUGCACCAUAGUGAAAAAGAACGAAUAGUUGUUAUUCUGUGAAUUAGCAUAUAUUUAGCCAUACUAACCUAAAAUCUUUCUCACACUUUUUGCAGCCGAAGUGCCAAAUGCAGGAGGUUUUGGGGAUUCGAAAACUAGAAGAGUGAUUCGGGAAAGAGAUCAAAUAAAGUAGUCUGUAUUAGAGAUUGCAGCAGACUGUAUCCAAACUCCACAGCCAAUUGUUUCAAGAUACGCUUUGGAAAAUGCCUCUGCUAUUGCUAUGUACCGGACAGCCCUUCUUCUCCUCACUAAUUUAUCCAUGUUAAUGUGUCUGAAUGAGGGCCUAUAUGUAACAUCACAGCUUUAAUAUAUAUCAGCAAUUCAAGGUUUAUUGGAUUAUAUUAUUGAAACAUUUUUAUCAGCAAUUCAAGAAAGCUUUAUGUGAACAACAUAAAACAUCUCUUUUCCAUUUAAUAAAUUUUUUGUUUAAAAAAAAAGUAGCAAAGCAGCGAAGAUAUAUAGUACAAAUACCAGCAAUUUUGAAGAAAUCUUGUUUAUUAUAAGAAUAAAUGCAAACUAAUUAUCUCACAAAUCGAAUGAAGAUUGUUACGAACAGAACCAAGAAAUUAUAGUCUAUUGAUCAGCUGUAAUUAUAACGUAAAAUAAAUAAGUAGCAAAAGACGAAUAAUAUUGUGAAUUAUUCACCCAUAACCUUUGUGAGAAAAUCUUACAUUUGGAAAAAAAAAUUUAACAUGCAGUCCAACUAACUAUCUAACACAAAUUCAAUAAAGAAAAUGAUGUUAUAGACAGAACACAAACAUUACAUCCUAGUGUUAAUUAAGCAGACUCAUAUCACUAUUUCUUGUUCACAACUUUUAAUGCGUUCCUCUUUUACAACUCUCAGUUAAUGCAAGUAUUUAGUGCCAGUAACUAACCUGCAGCUGAAAAUAAAUAACCAGUUAGCAUUUUCUUUUUAAUGCGUUUCAACUAAUUCUCAGAGUUUUGGUGACAAUUAAUGCUUCCAGCUGCAGGUUUACCCUGUAUGAUAUGCAAGGCAAAAGCCCUUGUCAAAGGUCAAAGGCACCAAUGCUGAUGAUUGAACAUCGUGGACAUGGGUACCUAAGAGUGCAAUAAAACCUGAACCAGGUGCCAUAAAAUUAGCCUUGUUAUCUGAAGGCAUUGUAUUGCUUCUAAUGCACGCAUAUUUAUUGCUUGUAUUGACCAUUAGUUGAUCGGAAUUAAGGUCAAUCGUCUGGAUACAGGAGGACCAUUCACCACAUUCACGAUUCAUGUUUUAAACGGUUGACAGCCUUACAUAUUUGGCUAUAUAUAACCUUUUUUGGCUUUCAAAAUAGACAAAAAGUGCUAAGCUCUUCUUCAUUAAUUAUUCAGGAUGAUUAUCAGUCCCAUCAACAACAAUGUGUACCUUUUAAAGAGUACAAGAAAAACAAAUCACGCAACUUAAUUAUUUAGACUAAUCUUUUCCCAAGUCAAUUGGUGGUUCGAGAUUAUUGUCUCAAACAACUAAUUUCUUGAUGGAUUUCUCUCUUGCACAACAAGAAUAAUAGAGUCAAGAAAAAGGGCUCAAUUUUUUUUAUGGACAAAUUACACUUUACCCCUGUUAUUUAGUGUUUAUUUACAUAACCUCCCCAUAGUUUCAAAAAUUAUACAUAUCUCCCUCAUAAUUUGGACUAAAAUGUCAAAGUAACGGAAUUUGCAAUCCAUAAUGGAGUCGACUAAAAUGUCAAAAAUACCCCUAUAUAAAGUUAAAAAUUAUUUAUUAACCACAUGGGGUUAUAUAUAUAUAUAUAUCAUUAUAUUGAAAACCAUAAGGGAGUUAUAUGGUAAAGCACUAAACCAUAAGGGGGUUAUAUAGUAAAAUAUAAAACCAUAUGGGUUAGAGUGCCAUGCAUAUUAUAUUUAUAUAUUUUGGUCACUCCAACCGCAUUAAUUUUUAAAUAAGAGUAAUAUUGACAUUUUCAUAGGUUCCAUUAUGAAUAAUCAUUUCUAUCAAUUUGACACUUUAAUUCAAACCAUAAGGGAUUAUAUAUAGCUUUUAAAACUAUCGGGGGAUUAUGUUCAACAGAUGGGUAAAGUGUAAUUUGCCCCUUUUUUAUUCACAUUCGAUUAGAUAUCUGCCCGCUACAUCAAGGCUGUCCUAGGUCCAUGAGUUGGUUGACAUUGGACGUUGUAUAGUUUGGUUCACUAGUAUUUAUAUUUGGUGCGGAAACCAUACCACGUAGUUGCCUAUUCUAUUUACAAAUUGCCCCAGUUAGCAACUUAACAACUGCACCUCAUCAAUUUCAUCCCUUAUGACAGUCAAGGUAGAGAAAUUAUAUACAAGAAUUUGUUGAAGCAAAGCCAAAGAACUCGAGUAUUGUAAGUAUGACGAUAUAAUAGUACUAGCAUUUUGUUAUUUUCGUGAUUUGUAUCUAUUGCUUUUGCCUGUAGCUGUUGGACGGACAAAUAAUGGACACUGGAAAGAGCAAAUGGAAGAACAAUUCAAUGAUCAAGAAAUUGGUUUCUUUAUCACUUCAAAGCAUUCGGCAAUACCUUCAAGAAUGGAGGGUGCUACUAUCAUUUCUUUGUCGAAGAGUAAAUCAUGGCAUUGUACUGGGCAGCUGAAAAAUCUCAACAAAAUCAUGAUGAGUACAGAACAAGGUAUAAAGUUGCUCCUAAAGGUUGUUUUUCAGUGUAUGUUGGUCCUGAGAAACAAAGGUUUGUGAUCAAGGCAGAAUGUGCUAAUCAUCCAUUGUUCAAGAUGCUGCUUGAAGAUGCUGAAUUGGAGUAUGGGUAUAGCAAUGAAGGCCCUCUUUUGCUUCCAUGUGAUGUUGAUCUUUUUUACAAAGUCUUAGCUGAGAUGGAUUGUGGCAAGGAGGCCAUGGUUGAUGAUUCUGAUUCAUCAGCUGGUGGUGGAUUUCCAUGUGGCUCCUGCAGUCCUUUCGCUCCGGCACGGCGUCUUCCAGACGGCACCAUCUCUAGAGUUUAUAGUCCAUAUGGACUUCUCAGUUCUCACUCCACCCCGAUUGCUGAAGAUGAAUCACUUCUGAAUCGAACAAAUGUAUAGAUUCUAAUUAUUGCUUUGUCUAAGAGUUUUUUGACCAGUUAGAAAAGCAGAUUUGAUUAAAUAUGGUAUCAAGAAUUAUCAUAGACCUCAUGUAUUCUUUGAAUACCAGAUGAUAUAAUUUUGCUAAAUCAUGUCAUGAACAGCCCUAUAAUCUACCUUGACCGAUUGUAUCCAGUUACUAACCUUUGAUAUAGUAGCCCAGCAUUACUUAAUUCCUAGUACGGAAUAAAAAUACUUAGUUUCAACUCAAGUUUUUUUUAAAACAUUUUGACCAAUCCUUCAAAAAAAAAAAAAACAUUUUGACCAAUCGGCCGUUGAUAAAUGUUUUCAGGUGACUUAAAUGGAUAUGAUCUCUCAUGCUAGGAAUCACUUUCAUAUCAGUUAAUGUAAGAGGAAGGAAAUUCGUGCUGCUUUUGCCAAAAGCAUCCUGUCUAGCCAUUAUAUAACAUGGCCUUUUAAGUGCUGUAAGUAUGGACGAAAGGGAAACAUAGCAAGUCCAGCGAGAUCUGAGAAGUGAGGAAAUAUAAGUAGCCUAUAUAUUGUCUCGCAAAUGACUAAAGGAUUCCAUACCUGACAAAAUUACUAAUAGCUAGUUUGGGAGGAAGGAAAUGGAUAGAAAAGAAAGGGUUUGAAAGGAUAAUAAAUUCUUUCCAUCGUUUGAGAGCCAAAAAGAGAAGGAAAAGAAAGGAUUUGGACUUCCUUCACUUCUCUCUGUGUAUUGGAAAACUUUCCGCCAAAGUUGGGCGGAAAAGGAAGGAAGGGACUGUGCUUUAAAUGAAAUUUUCAAUAUGACAAUAUUACCCUCAAAAUCAUGAUACAAAAAUUUUUAAUUCCGGAUGAGUCUCUCAGCUUACUUGAUUCACAUUUAUUUUCAAAAAGGGCAAUUUUGUAAAAUAACCUAUUUGAGCAUCUUUUCUUUUCAUCUGUUUUCAACUCCCAAACAAAAGAAAAACCACUUACCUUCUUUUCUUUUUUAAAACUCCCAAACAACUUAGAUAGAAACUUAAAUCCUUUCCCACCCUUUCUUUUCUAACUAACCCUUUCUCUUCUUUUUAUUCUAAACUCCCAAACUAGCUAUAAGCCAUUUCACUCCUGUGUAAAAUGGCAAGGACUUGUCUCAAAACCCAAUUUAGCUAGUAGAUCAUGAUGUCUGUGGUUCGAUUGUCCGGGCUUCCUUUCUCACUUCGCUUUUGUAAAGUUUGGAGUCUCUUGCUGAUUAAAAAAAAAAAAAAAAAAAAGGAAAGAAAAAUGACAAGAACUUCCCAUGCAAUCUAUUAUUGGGGGUAACUUCGCUUUGCUAACUCACAUACAUGUUCUACACGUCUCAAAAAUGGGAUAAUUUAGCAAUUGCAUAUGAAACAAAUUAGUCUAAAUUUCGAUAGGAUGUUCCAAUUAUUACAGACAUAGAACAGAAAAAGGGUAAUUUGUAGUCAAAGAUUGCACAUUACAAGCUCAAGCCGCAGCAGCAAUGUAAUGUAAUGGGGACUUUUUAAGAAAUCGGAAUUAAGGAUGCAAAGUGUGACAAGUGCUAAAAUUUGAGAGUAUAUAUGCAUGAAAUUAAUGCACCUCCAAGUAAACCGAUUUAAUUAAAUGCUUAUAAUCCUUUCAAAUGACAACUGAAGUGGUUAAACUGGCAUCAAUAAAAACAAUUUUAGCAUUUUAUUUACUCUUUUUAGAAAAUAAUGAGCUAUACAAACUUCAUUAUCUGCCCUUUUCUUUCUCAUGUGUACUAAUAAUGUACAUUCCUAGAAGAAGAUUCGAAAGUCCAGUAAAACGCAUAAGGACUAAUGUGUGGAGACUAAAUUGCGAUUCAAAUUGCUAUUACCCUCAAACUGGCUAAAUGAAACUAUUCAAGGGUUUUUGUGUUUCACCCCUAAAGUUUUCAUCAACAUCGCUUUGCAGCCUUUGUGUUUGUGAACUGUGCCUUUUUUGUUUGUUUGUUUUUUUUUUUUUUUGUUCUGGUCUAACACAACCUUACAUUGAAUUUUGUAUUUUGUUUAUUUGUUUGGUACAAGGGAGAUUUAGCAUAGAGUGAUAGUCGCAUUCAUUAAUCCAUGCCAAUGAUUACUUCUGUGAGAUUGGGACAGGCAUUAAAAACUCAUAGUUACAAUUGUCUCAAUCAAAAAUCAUUACUAACCCUGUACUAUUCUAUUCCCAAUUUUUGCAGACGUUGCUAGCUCUUCUCAAUACUUGCUUUGGGAAGAACAUGAGAAAAUUUAUUCAUAGUUUUGAGCAUUCAUGUAGAGAUCAUUUUGCAUUGAAUUCUCAGGGGUUAAAGGGAUAUACACAGUAGCGGUGUUAAAGCUCCAUGAGUAAGGGGUCAAUAGUCACUUGGAUCAAUAACAUGUAGUUUACGUUUCAAUUCAAUUAUUGGUUCACAGAAGAAAAUUAGUAUAAUGCAGUUGUUGUUCUAAAAUUUUGAAUCCUUGUCCGUUCAAGUGGUAUUUAUUACUUUUUCAAAUACGAUGGUGGAAAAUUUUAUAUUUUUAGAAAGAGAGUAAAGGGAAAUUUUUCCCAUAAUUUAAUUAAGGGUUGAAAAAUUAUGAAAAUUUGAGGGGGUUGGGGGCAAUUUGUCUGCCUCAGUAGCCUGGCUCUGCCCCUCCAUAUGCACAGUAAUCUAUGUGAUCAAUCAACAUUGAUCAAACAUUAGAAAGAAAUAUGAACAAUAAUUGCACUUGUUCAACUGUUGGUAUUGGUACAAAAUCAGGAACGACAAUCUUACAUAAUCUUUUUUAGCCAGAAACAUAGCUUGGAAUACAUUCCUGGAUCAGGAAAUGUAAGUGUUGUGGAAACAAAUACAGAACAUAAAUAAUGACAAUAGGUAGAAUAAAAUGCAGGAUGAAAGAUUCAGUAACAAAAGGCUCUGAGCUUUAGAUCUGCAUGAGCUCUUCAAACGUUUUCAUUGCAGCAGCUGGCAACCCCAGAAGCACAUUGAUGCUUUUCCUUUCUCUUCCAUGAGACAGAAACAGGCUUACUUCCUUCUCUGGAAGGGCUACAGGCCCUGAUAAAACAGGUUCCCCCCAUCCAAAAUCAGUAGUAUGGAAAGAUAGCCUAGACCAGGUUGUGAUGAGAAGCGUUGCAGUCAAAGAAGGCCUUACUCUAGUUGCUUCGAAGUAGUCUAUAGCAGAUCUCAUAUAACUGUCUGUGACAAUUUGGACUGAUUCUUGGACUAGCUUCACUGCAAAUGAAAGUGGAUUCCCGACUAGCUCACCCGCGCUGCAAAAUGAAUUUGUAAGCACAAUUCCAUUGCCAAAGUAGCCUUCUGGAAUUGGGGGAUCAAAUCUUGAUCUUCCAUCAACUGCAAAGAGAAGUUUUGUCUUUUGAUCAGGCUUCAUCUUCAGGCCUGGCUACGAGAUCGCCAUAUGAAUGCUGACAGGGCUUCAAAUGUGGUGCAUUUGGCCAGAGCUCCAUCUUCCAAAGCUUUCCUUUUGAGCUUUUCGAGUUUUUCUGGGUCAAAACAGAAUGACCUGUAGUGCAUUUCCUCCUUGUAUAGUUCAGCAGUAUUUGAUGUGUCAUCAAUUUCAGCGAAUUCAUGAUGGGGAAAUUCUAUCUUGGGAGGAUUUCGGGCUUUGAGUAUGGUUCUGUCCAUAAAUGGAGGCACUUUUAAAGGCAGUCCUCUGGCAACUUCACCCCAGGAGUUGACAAAUUCCAUUGCACCAAUCCCAUCAAACAUGCAGUGGUUCAUGCACAGCCCAAGAACAAAUCCUCCACACUUGAACUUUAGUCACCUGUAGAGCAAAAUCAGUUAUCACUCAAAGACCUUAAAUUUCCAGGGUAAAGGAACAAUAAACAGCAGGGCAAGCCAUACCACGUAAGAUUGCACUAUUGCAAUAAUUUCUGUUAUGAAAGCUCUACCGAACUUUCAAGGAUAAAUGUAAAUUCAGAUGCUCCACUUCUUUUCUUGAUCAUGUAAUAUACAUGUGACAUUGCAAAAGCCUAAUUCCUGAAUCAAAAUCUUUUCCUCUUUUUUAUUCGCGGCCUUUUUCUUUAACCACAGAGAUUUGCUUAUAUUUUAGUUAUUCAAAGAUGUAAGUUUGCUGGAGCUAAUACUCGAAAUAGAAGUUAAAGACAUGUUGAACCUGAGCAGCCAAAGGAGGAAUCUCCAGUACGUUUUUCGCCCCUGGAACAUCAUAAACCAGCUUUCCGAGAGUAACAGGAUCAGGCUUUGUGUUGUCGCCGAUGUCUUCAAUGGUGCAAUCUGCUUCAGCCUCAACAAAGACAGCCCCUUCUCCGGUACAAUCCACUAUCAGCUUUCCCUCAGGACUAAUGGUUAAACGCCCUGCAAGAGGGUGGUACUGAACAAGAACCUUUGAAAAGCAUCCUUGAUCAUCCUUACAGCUUCCUCAUUGCCCUUUUCCCCUGAUUUAAAGCAGUAAAUUGUACGAACAAUCACCGCAAUGUUCUGAUCAAGAUUUGAGAGGAAAUACAGGCCCUUCUGUGUUUCUUCAGCUGGAGGGAUCAAAGUCGGUUGUCCCUGCUUGACGGUGAGCUCAAAUGUGUUGCUCUUACCAUUCUCCAUUGCUAAAAUUGUUCAAAUGACACAAUCCUGAGUCAAAACACCAUGUUAGUGAAAUUCAAAGAGAUGAAAUUUGUGUGUUUCGAGUGUUUCAUUCAUGCAAAUUGCAUCAGUGGAGAUAAAAUCUCAUGACUUGUUUAAAAACUAGUAAAGACGGUCGAGAAAAAAACAUGUUCAGAUAUUUUACCUUCAAUAAGCACUCACUAGUAAAGAGAGCUUUUCUAUCUGUUGGCUGUGCUAAACUGAGAAUAUCAUGUUUUGGGGAAAGGGAUUCAAGGAAUAUAUAGGAAGACAAUUGCUUGCAAAAUUUGAAGAUUGUUAAGUUUUGGUUAACAAAGAUGGUCCAAUGAAAAUGACUAGUACUUUAUGAUUGGCAAAUUUAAUUGCUUAGAUUCUUCUUGUAGACUUCUAGGAGAAAGAGAUAUUAGACUAAUAUAUAUCUUUUGCUUUGUGUUUGGGGGCGGGGGGGGGGGGGGCGGGGGGGAGGGGGGGGUUGUUAACAUUGCCUAUUAAUUCUUAUGUACGUAAUCCCAUUGUACUUUUGAUUUUAGUAAAUUUUGUUUUGGUCAUUUGGUGAGGACAAAUUCUAUAUACUCAUAUUGGUAUGGUUAGGCUACUAGCCAUGGAACAAAAUUUUAGUAACAGUCAAGAGAACAUGGCGUAGUAGAGAAGAUCCUGUGGGGUUGGUUGGUAGGGUUGGCGUCCAAAUUUUGAUUACUUGAUGCAUCUAAAAUUUGAUGCAGCAAAAUGCCACGCUACCCCAGAUAAUCACUUUAUUCCUAGUCACUUCACUUAUAUAUAUAGCAUAACAACAAGAAAAGCAGAUUAUGAUCAAAUCUCCACAACAUUAUGGUUUUGUAAUUAAGUUGGCACUUUUUUGGCCUGGAUUGAUGGCAAUUCACCCCUACAUUACUCAAGGAUCAAAAAGUGUUUUGGGUUUCUUGAGGGUUAUGCUCUGUUGAAAACAGCCAAGGAGAACAUGUUACAGCAUCAAGGCAUUAUUAGCUAAUGUUGGGAUUUUUAUUAUUUUCCCUUUUCCUUAUUUUCUCCUAAAAUCUCUUCCUCUCCAUUACAAGUCCUUUUCUUUUUUCUUCUUUCAUCUCACUCUCUUCCUCAUCUUUCUCAAUACAUUUCAUGCUAAGUUACAUAUAUCUUCUUUUCAUGUAUGACCUAAAUUAGAGGAAUUAUUUUCUUAUGUAUGUUGAAAAGAGGAAAAGAAGACCACAGUUCUGCAUGGGUUUACCUCUAACUUUCUGUUAGGAUGAUUAGUUAGUUAAUGGUGUGUAAGCACAGCCCUUUUUGAUCUUUUAAUCUCUGAUAAGUUGACAAUUAGAUUGAGCAAGUUGCUAUAUGGAAAUUCUGAAAAAGAUAGAUUAUGUAAGAACAAUAAUAAUAAUGAUUUGAAAGCCAUAGCUGAAAGUAAAAAAAAACCCAUAUAUCUCUGUGCGUUGAUAUUGUAGCCUAACAAACUCAAACAAAAACUUUUAAAUCUUAGAUUAGAACAGAAUAGCAAACUUAAGAACUUGAUAUAUGAGUUUGGUUUAGUUGGUGCACACCCUACCCUCAUCCAGAACGACUGCACUUACCUAACUUAAUCACAAGGUUUUUGUUCAUUAUUGCAAAAAAAAAAAAAAAAUUUUUUUUGGGUUUAUCAUUGCAAAUUUGGUAACGUUGAGGGACAAAAAAAUUUACUUUCAAAUUUUAUUUAUUGCUUGAAUUAGGGGAAAUAAAAGACUUUUUGCUCACUUACAUUAGCUUAGUAGCACUGCCAAAAAAUAAUUCCUAAUUAUGCCAAAGCUAUGUUUUGAGUAAUAAUCACGAAAUUAGUCAAUAUCUGAGCAAUAUUUCAGGGCAAAAAUCCAGUGCUAUUGGAUUGGCUUUCUUCUUUCUUCUUCGUCUUCUUCCUCUUCCUCUUCCUCUUUCUUCCCUUUUUUUUUUCCCUAUUGAUAGCUAUAAUUGGGAGAAAUAGUCCCAAAUUGUGAUCUCAGAUUCUGACGCAUAUUCUCACUUCUGAAUUCAACAACAUUUCGGCUUUAUCUGAGACUAUAUUAUGCAGACAAGACAAUUUUGCUUCUUCCCUUGCUUUCCUGUUGAUAGCUAUGAUUGUGAGAAAUAGUCCCAAAUGGUGAUAUCAGAUUCUGACGCAUAUUCUCACUUCUGAAUUCAACAUUUCGACCUUAUCUGAGACUAUAUAUUAUGCAGAAAGACAAUUUUGAGAUUGCAAUAAAUUUGUCAUUCGAUUAGUGUUUGGAUUGGAUUUUUCUACCAAAAAAUUUUUAUGUUUUCCACGAACACGUUUCUAAUCACUUUUGAUCUCACAUAUAUCAAAUCGUUACAAUAUAUUUUUCUAAAGCUGCAGAAAAUAUCAAUCCAAACAUUUUUCAGAACCAUCCAACAUUUUUAAGAUAAACUUAAACCAUACAUGCUGUGCAAGGAAUCAAGGACAGCAGCACCAGUGGAAACAUCAGGUCAAGGAUAUACAUAUGAUCAGACACACCGACUAUGACGUUAAAAUGCAGCCAAAACCCACCAGAGACAGAAAUCCCUUUUAUUCUCUUAUCAAGAAGAACUAAUUAAGAACAAAACUGUCAUAGUUAUCAGAUAACAAGUGAGACAGAAGAUCUAUGCAUCUGAUAGAUAUGAUACUCAUCAAUUUGGAAUUAACAGACAUUGAUGAAAUGAUUUUUAACGCCAACCACCUAUGAUAGAUUAGUAAAAUCCCACUUAUGAGAGAUGGAUUUCAUCAUGGAUUUGAUAUUCUUUUCCUUUAACUACGAGUAGUCUGCGUUUAUUUAAUGGAAUCAUGUGCGUUCCUGUGAAAUUGCUAGAUUAAUAUAUACAAUUAUCUAUAGAGGAAAUUUUUAGGAACACAAAAGGUGUCAUUUCAGCUCGUGCUUUAGAUAUUGUUUACAUUUGAUUUUACAACCCUUUUUUUUCUCUUUUACAUUACAGCAAGGUUAUUUAAUUUUUUUUUUUUUUUUGUUUUAUCAAGCGAUAGCACGGUUAUUUUACCUACUCGAAGGAUUUAGGUAUUUGCUUGACACAAUCAUAUCCGAAAAUUUACUGUACUUUUUUUUUAAUUGUGGAGGAAUGUAGUUUAUUCUAUUUUUACAAUGAUUCCACUAAGUAAACUAGAAAUAGGAUAGCAACUUGACAACGACGCUAUUUCCAAAGCAAGCAAGAAGAAUGCUUCCAGGAGCAAGCAUCUUGUUAAUAACUGAAAAACCAAAAUUACUACUACAAGCAAAAGUAAAAGAGUUGCACAAAUUACAGGCUUAAUGGCUUGCAGCGCAUCAAUAUCAAAAUGAAAACUCAAGACAUUGAAGAUAAGUAAAAGACCGUACUUUCAAAUCCACCCUUCUCACUGUAAAAUGUCUCAUCUAUGUGUCAAAGAACAGUAUAAAAAUUACAAAUCUAAGUUCACUGAACCCACUUCUGGAAAAUUUCCUAGGUGUUUUACAGAGUUUAACAUCAAAUAAAUACAACUACAUCAAUUUCAUGCUCAAGCUAUAAGCUAAAGAUAGGAAGGGGAUUAGAAUGUAAAAAAUCCCUAAUGGUGAGAUUUCAUCCAAAGUACAGACACACAGUUAAAUGUUAUAUGAUACAGGUGACCUAUUCCGCCUUCAUCUGUAAGAAGUUUGACAGAAGGAAAUGAUACCGCAGUUGCAGUUGUGCUGCACACCCCCAUCUGAUAAAAGU